This 85581-nucleotide long non-coding RNA is filed under the name Setaria viridis. Its description in RNAcentral is "long non-coding RNA (SVIR_LNC005239)". Lineage: Eukaryota; Viridiplantae; Streptophyta; Magnoliopsida; Poales; Poaceae. The record is from RNAcentral.
UUUUUUUUUGAAGUUGCAACGCUGACGGUUGAAUUACAUCUUUUACAAAGGCCAAUGCACAUUUCAUAUAGGCUGUGUCCCUUUGCCUUCCUCCCACCUUUUUAUUAAUGCGGUCCGGGCUAGACGCAUGAAACCAUAAUUUUUUUUUGAAGUUGCAACGCCGACGGUUGAAUUACAUCUUUUACAAAGGCCAAUGCACAUUUCAUAUUUAUUUUCCAAAAAUAUCACAUAAAGUCAGUCUUAAUGCACAAUUUAAUUGGACAGUUACCGAGACUGAGAACUUAAUAGCUGUGCUUGAUGAGUGUCAUGGAGAUGAAACUCCUCUCCCAUAUGAUGAAAUUCUUUAUUCUCUCCCCUCGUAAUGGUCUUGUCAAGUCAGCAAAAUUGAUAAUACGGUAUACAAUUUAAUGCUCAUGAAAAAACCUUCCAUUGAAACUGGCCUAAGUAAGAUAGCAUUUAUUUCGAUGUUGAAAUAGCUCCAUAGAAUGCAUAAUUCUAUUGUUUAUUAUUUCCAAGACUACAUACAAGAAAUGAAUUUUGAAAAACAAUGUACAUAGGUUUCAAUUAGAUGAAAUCCAUCAUCUCUCUCUUCGUUGAUUCUUUGCCACGUAUACGUCAUAAAAGACACUAACAUGACGCUUCAUAUAAUGAGAAUGAAAAUCCCAUCAAGAUUGAUCCAAUACUAUCUCAAACUAUGACAUGCUAGACCAAGAUUCAAAUAUUUUAAUUUUAACUGAUUUACAUAGUAUACUGAAAUUUGAUAUCAUUAGAUUUGUAUUGAAAAAACCAAUUCCAUACGAUUUCAAAGUAUUUUGUGGUUAUAUACAUUAUAAUAUAUAAGAUAUUAACGGUCAAAAUAUGACAUUGAAGACUGUAAUUAGUCAAACCACAUCUUAGGCUAAUCCAGUUGAGAGUUUAACGGUGUUUAACGGUCAAAAUAUGACAUUGAGAGUUUAGGACAAGGAAAUGGUGUUUAACGAGUCACACACUAAUUAAUGAUUAAUGAGAAUGAUGAGACGUACUAGGAAAAAAAUAAAUCCUAGAAAUUGUAAAAAAAUUAGAAACAUUUGGCCAUCCAUCCGGUAGUUCAAAUUAUCGUAGCCAUUAAAUUUUAUUUAACAUUUUUCCACAACGGUGGAAGGUUUCAAUAGAACUUGAUCGUCUAUGCAUGGUAGCUAUGCUAUAUAACGGCUUUCAUGAACAUGCCAUGCCAUGGCACCUCAGUUAGCCCCGGCAGUAGCUGCUGCCGUCCACACUUGAGAAAUUAGUUCAGCCGGCGUUUCUUGUGCUUGAGCUGCCUGAGCCUGACAACCUCACUGACAGCGCUCCUGCUCACCGUCGCCUUCCGUCCUUCACCAAAGUUCCAGAGCUCGCGCGCCAGGUAACCUCCGCUGGUGUUGUGCUCGUUCAUCUCGAUCACCGCGCGGUCUUCACCGCCAUCGCCGUACUCGUCCCGCGGGCGCCUCUCUCAGCUCCGCGUCGUCGUCGUCGUCGUCGUCGUCCACGACUUUCUGCAACACCCCGAUGAUGACUCGUUAUAUUGCUGCUUGACAAAUUGUGAAAUUAAGACCUUGCAAGUUGGAUAUAAGUAUAUGCCUUGGUUUUGCCAUUGGCGUCGUCAAAAAUCCUGAAAGGCACUUCCUCCUGCCAAUCAGAGAUCAGCGUUGCCGCUCUGACCUGCUUGAAACAAAAUAGCUAAUGCAUACUGAUGGAUGGUUAGUAGCUAAGAGUACCUUUGACUUUUCAACAUCCAUAAUGACACCACUUUUCUUAGCCAAUGAUCCAUCGAUCAACUUGGAGCUUGAGCUUAGUAGAGCCAUUUGUGUCAUUCUUUGUGCUCUUCUCAAACCAGUGCAUGUCCAAGUUCCAUUGUGUCUCGUAACCUCUCCAGUUGAUGCAAGUGCGUCUUUUUAACGUCAAUCUGGGUUUCCAAUAUAUCCACCACUACUGGAAAACGGAAUUUCCCUGUGUGUAUUCAAUUUUCCUGUGGGUUUUUUGAGCACACACAGGGAAAUCAAUUUCCCUGUCGGUGUGCAAACACCACACAGGGAAAUAACCAAACCCACAGGGAAAUUCGCUUUUCCUUGUCGGUAUUAAAAAACACACAGGGAAAUGGUUAAACCCACAGGGAAAAUACUCAUUUCCUUGUGCGUUAGGUAAAACACACAGAGGAAAUCGCAAAAACACACAGGAAAAUACUCAUCAGGUAACCUGUAGUAAAUAGUUAACCAGAGCCUUAUACUACGUAGUAGUAAACUUUAACUGCCACUAAAUUUUGUUUGAACUUGAUUUCACAAUUAUUUCUCCUUCACGUUGAUGCUUUCAUAAAUUGACAUUAGAGUUUUUGAAUCAUAAAAUUUUGACGUUGUAACGGGCCUUUUCAGCAUAUUUGUGUGUGGGCGCUUGAUAAUGUUGGAUUUGUGUGCAGCAUGCUCCAUUUGUCCGGUCCGGUUAGUCUCAGGUACAUGGUGAAAAUAUAUCUUUGUGAGUACUAGAGAUAUGAAAUGGGUAAAAAUUAAAAGAUCCGCGGAAUUUAUUACCAUUCCCCUCAACAGGUCCACCAACGCGGCAUGCUCAUGUUGUCGUGCGCAGCCGCUUUGUCGCCAAUGCCGACCGGGUUGCCAGAGGAGGAAGAGGGCAUUGUAAAGGCCUUUUCUUCUGUCGAUUUCGAUUGCUGAGAUACGCACGGGAACGGUGAUAUAUAGUGACUAUAGCUAUUUCUUAUCUGAUCUGUUUGUGGGCUGUGGCUUCCUGUUGGAAACAAGAAUGUUUCCACCCUUCGCAUUCCUCCCACCUUAACUAAUGUGAUCUUGGCUGGAAGAUGGGAAUCAUAAACUUUUAAAGUUCUAACGGCACCUUUUAGGGAUAUUUGUGUGUUGGACACUCGAUAAUAUUGGAUUUGUGUGCAACACACUCCAUUUGUCCACUCAGUCUCGGCACACGGUGAAAUUAAGUCUUUGUCCAGAACACCAGGGGCGGAUCCGGGACUUCAGGGAGGGGGCUCAUCCUCCUCUUCUAACUCCCUCCUCUCUUUCUCUUCUUCCUCCUCCUCCUAUUCACCCAUGGAUGAAAUUUUUAAGGGGUCUUUAGGGGCUUCAUGGGAUGCAUGGAGAUAGGAGAGCUCCAGCAGUCCAGACCCCAUAGUGGAUCCACUCCCGCACAACACACUAUAGUCACUCCCCUUCCACUUUCUCCCCCGUUCACAAGCUCCAUCACGUCUCCCUCUCACCUCCUGCCCCCACGAGCGCCUCCAGCCUAUCUCGAGUGCAGCUCCAAUGCCUUGGUGUGCCAGCGUCCAUGGUACGCCGGCUAGCUAGCUUCUGCUUAUUUGCAGCGCCUUGUGUGCUGCACCUGCACAUGAAGCCGAUAUAGCUGCAAGUGCUGCACACUUCUACCCAGCUGCAACUGCUGGGCUUGAUGUUGGCUGGCUGCAUCUGCUAUAUAUAGGUGCUGCUAGCUAGCUGCUGCCGCGGCAGCCCUAGCGGACGCUGCAACUAGCACUACUGAAUCCUUGUGUGCAACAACUCUAAGCCUCAGCUAGCAAGUCACACGAGCCUGAGCAAACGUGCGCGUGAGAGAGCCGAUUGAGCGUCACGGGACAUAGGUUCGCUUGGGUGGCCACACGGCACAAAUCUAAGUUAUGUGACCGUGUCAGCUAAUUAAUACAAACUUUUUGCUUGUUGUUCUCGCACGUGUUCAUAUAUACGCAGGGCUACAUCUGCCUCGUGAGCGGCCUCAAGUUCAACGAAGCGCUCGAUUACUGCUUCUCCAGGGGGAUGGAACAUGCCUACCCUUUGCCUUCAUCCCACCUUAACUAAUGUGGUCUGGGAGCCUAGGAUGGGAACAAUUUUUUUGAAGUUAUAAUAACGAUGGUCAAAUUUUGUGCGUGAGACACUUAAACAUUGGAUUUAUGCACAACACAUUUCACUCUUCCAUCCUUGUGUGCAACAACUCUAAGCCUCACCUAGCAAGUCACACGAGCUUGAGUAAACGCACGUGUGAGAGAGCAGAGUGAGUAUCACGGAGAUAUAGAUUCACUAGCCACAUGGCACAAAUCUAGGCCAGGUCCUCACACUGUUGGAUGAUUGACCUUUUGUACCAGUUGGGAAACCCCAUUUAGUGCCGGGUGCCCGACCGGUACCGGGCAGCUCAAUCGGCACUAAACUUAGUACCGGUUGGUUUUACAAACCGGUACUAAAAUUUUAUUCAUUUACUUGUUUUCCUUUUGUUUUAAUUUGCAUUCGUAUCCGUUUGCAUAUACUAAUAAUAUUACGUUAAUAUAUCAAACCAUUCAAAUUCAAGCCUCACAAGUUCGUACAUCAAUACUUAAGGUCUUAAAGACAAUAAGUUCAAAUCCAUAUGAAAAGGGUAUGAGUACAUCCAUGUACGCUACAUAUUUUAUACUUCACUUCGCUUCCUUAGAUAUGCGGCAUAGUUUAAGUCUCCAAUCUUAAAGAACUUCAUCAAUAUAAACUAGAGCAUGAAUUAGUGCACUCUCUAUCGCUUCACAUGGAUGGUCACAUCCACUACCAUAAAUCUCAAACAAUGGAGAGGUAAACUCAUAUGGCCUAUAGAAAGUGAGAUGAGCCUAGAGCUUGAAAUUUCUGAUGCGUACCGGGUUUCCAUCAGUGUAACUAUAAUUCAACACAUCCAAGACUUGAGCCAGAAUAGCAUGAAAGCUCAUUGCUGCAAUGGUUUGACCAAAGAGAUCCUAAAAGAUGAGAAUAGCAUGAUGAAAGUUAAAAGAUGUAACAUAACUAAAGAUAAAAAGAAUGAUUAGACAUGUUCCAUACCAUGUCAUGUUGAUUUAGUUGACAAAGCCUCUCAGUAGUCAUAAUCACGUUGCUUUCUCCCUCCUUGAACGCCUUUAUUCAAAAAUAUGAGAAGUCUGGCACAUAGUACCCAUUAUCCUUAAGCUGUUGUAGGCAGGCGUGGACUUUUCAAAAGUCUACCUAAUUGGUGCUUCCUUACUCCAUCAGCAAUUCAUAACAUUGAGAUGGCCUGUCCUGGUCGUAUCGAGUUGGCCUGUCCUCCUCGAAUCAGGUAGUUCAAAAGAGAUCUUAACUCAUAGCAAAUUACUUGUACCAAUACCUCGGAUUGCACUAAAGGAGUAGUACCGCCUAGAGCUUUGACAACAUCUUUGAGCCAUCUAAUAGGGUUGAUAAGCUACAUUGUAUGAGAGUAAAUUUAUGAAUUAUUCAUGUGCAGUACAGAAAACUAAUUACAAGAAGGAAAAAUAUUACUAUGUUGGGUUUUGCUCCUUGGCUUUGAUUGCCGGUAGGCAAGUCAAUGACGCCAUUAGGGAAUAUUUUUUAAGUUAUAAUAACGAUGGUCAAAUUUUGUGCGUGAGAUACUUUAAUGUUGGAUUUAUGCAUAGCACACUUCACUCAUCCAUCCUUGUGUGCAACAACUCUAAGACUCAACUAGCAAGUCACACGAGCCUAAGCGUGAGAGAGCUGAGUGAAUGUCGCGGGGACAUAGAUUCGCGUGGGUGGCCAUAUGGCACAUAUAUAAGCCGGGUUGUCAUGUCAUGGUGAGCUCUUUGUAGACCAUCCCCACCUAAUUUUCUUCCUUAAUUUGAAUUGGUCUUGGUGCUACUAGGAAAGCGCAUAAACCCGCCAUUGGAAAGGCUAUGUGAUCGUGUCAGCUAAUUAAUAGAAACUUUUGCUUGUUGUGUUCGCACGAGUUCAUAUAUACGCAAGGCUACAUCUGCCUCAUGAGUGGCCUCAAGUUCAACCUAAGAAGUGAAGUGCUCGAUUACUGCUUCUCCAGCGGGAUGGAACAUGCCUACCCUUUGCCUGAGGUCUUGGAGCCUGGGACGGGGAACAAUUUUUUUGAAGUUAUAAUAACAAUGGUCAAAUUUUGUGCGCGAGACACUCUAACAUUGGAUUUAUGCACAACACACUUCACUUGUCCAUCCUUGCAUGCAACAACUCUAAGCCAAAGCUAGCAAGUCACACGAGCUUGAGUGAACACGCGCGUGAGAGAGCCGAGUGAGCGUCACUGGGACGUAGAUUCGCUUGGGUGGCCACACAGUACAAAUCUAAGCUGGUCCUCGUUGUGAGCUCUUUGUGGACCGCCCCCAUCUAAUUUUCUUCCUUAAUUUGCAUUGGUCUUGGUCUGCUAGGAAAGUGCAUAAAACUGUCAUUAAAUAGGGCUAUCUUACCAUGUUAGCUAAUCAAUACAAACUUUUUAUUGUUGUGUUCGCACAUGUUCAUAUAUAUGCAGGGCUAUAUCUGCCUCAUAAGCGGCCUCAAGUUCAACCUAAGAAGCGAAGUGCUCGAUUACUGCUUCUGCAACAGGAUGGAACAUGCCUACCUUUUGCCUUUAUCCCACCUUAACUGAUGUGGUUUGGGAGCUUGGGAAGGGAACAAUUUUUUUUAAGUUUAAUAACGAUGGUUACAUUUUGUGCGUGAGACACUUUAACGUUGGAUUUAUGCAUAGCACACUUCAAUCGUCCAUCCUUGUGUGCAACAACUCUAAGCCUCGGAUAGCAAGUUACUUGAGCCUGAGUAAACGUGCAUGUGAGAGAGCCGAGGGAGCGUCACGGGGACGUAGAUUCGCUUGGGUGGCCACACGGCACAAAUCUAGGCUGGGUCCUCAUGGUGAUCUCUUUGUGGACCGACCCAAUCUAAUUUACUUCCUUAAUUUGCAUUGGUCUUGGUUCUGGUAGGAAAGUGCAUAAAGCCGCCAUUGGAGAGGCAGCUAAUUAAUACAAACUUUUCAUUGUUGUGUUCACACAUGUUCAUACAUACGCUGGGCUACACCUGCCUCAUGAGCGGCUUCAAGUUCAACCUAAGAAGCUAAGUGCUCGAUUGCUGCUUCUCCAACAGGAUGGAACGUGCCUACCCCUUGACUCAAUCCCACCUUAACUAAUGUGGUCUGGGAGCCUGGGACGGGGAACAAUGAUUUUAAAGUUAUAAUAAUGAUGGUUAAAUUUUGUGCGUGAGACACUUUAAUAUUGGAUUUAUGCACAGCACACUUCACUCGUUCAUCCUUGCGUGCAACAACUCUAAGCCUCAGCUAGCAAGUCACACGAGCCUAAGUAAAUGUGCGCGUGAAAGAGCUGAGCGAGUGUCGCGAGGACGUAGAUUCGCUUGGGUGGCCACACAGCACAAAUCUAGGCUAGAACCUCAUGGUGAGCUCUUUGUAGACCGUCCCUACCUAAUUUUCUUCAUUAAUUUGCAUUGGCCUUGGUUCUGCUAGGAAAGCACAUAAAACCGCCAUUGAACAGGGCUAUCUGACCGUGUUAGCUAAUUAAUACAAACUUUUGCUUGUUGUGUUCGCACAUGUUCAUGUAUACGCAAGGCUGCAUCUGCCUCGUGAGCGGCCUCAAGUUAAACCUAAUGAGCGAAGUGCUCGAUUACUACUUCUCCGGCGGGAUGGAACAUGCCUACCCUUUGCCUUCAUCCCACCUUAACUAAUGUGGUCUAGAAGCUUGGGAUGUGGAACAAAAUUUUUACAAUUACGAUAGUCAAAUUUUGUGCGUGGGACACUUGAUAAUGUUAGGUUUAUGUACAUGACGCUUCACUUAUCCAUUGACACACACCAUGAAAAUAUCUCUCUGUCCCCUCGACUUCCACUCUCUCCCCGUCCACAAGCUCCACUCCCUCUCUCGCCUCCUACCCCACAAGCACCUCCAGCCUAUGUCGUGUGCAGCUCCCCUAGUUGCCUUGGUGCGCCGGCGUACAUGGCAUCCUGGCUACGCCGAUGAUAGCGACUCUUAGCUAUUAUUUCUGCCUAGUGAUGGGCCUGCACCUACUUUGUUCCUCCAACUCAUCGUUGCCUCCCAUGCCACGGCACGAUGAUCAUUGCAGUGGCGCUCGCCACUUGUGCCAAGCCACCGAGGUGUGCAGUGCAGGCGCCAUGGCUAUAUGUCACAUAUGAGACAUAUAGCAAUCUAUCACAUACCAGCGGGACCCACCCGUUAUUGACAGGUUCCUCCUGCUUCCUCUUCCUCUGUCCCGAGCCCAUCCACUCUCCCCUUCCCCGCUGCUUCCUCCUCUCCCUUCGGUCACCUCCAGCGCUGCUAGGGUUAGGGGCUUCGAGCUUCGGGGUUGCCGGGGGAGGUCUAAUGGCCGCUGGUACUAGAAAAAUGGGUGGGGAUGGGAGGGGAGACCUGCGGUGGAGGUGGGUUGUGGGGCGGUGUGGCGCGGCGGCGGGGACGCCACCGGUCGGGUCCAACGGCUUGAUUGCCGGUGGGCCAAGGAUGGGCCGGGGCGAGGGUUAUGAUGGUGGAGGUGAGCUCCUAGUGGAGCCAGGUUAGGGUGGCGGAGGGUGGUGGCGGGAGCCGUCGGAGCCGGAGGAGGAAGGUGGCACGGGGGUGACGAGCUAGGUUAGGACGACGGAGGGUGUUGGCGGCGGAUGCGGCUGCGGGAGCCGCUGGAGCUGGAGGAGGAAGGUGGCGCAGGAGUGAUGCUAGUGGGCCGUCACUGAAGGCAACAACGGCAGAUUUGUUGCCUUCAGUGAAAUAUAGAACCACCCCGCGCAGGCUCGCGAACGUCAGGGCCGGGGCGGCACCCAAGGGUGGUGGAGUUGCUGUUGCUGCAGUACAUGGUGAUGGGCGCCUCAACGUGUUGGGUAGCUGGAGUUCUACGACCAGGCGCCAGUGAACAGCUUUCCCCUUUUUGUUUACGUCGUCAAGAAACCAAUUUACUUCCUUAAUUUGUAUAUUGUUCUAGUUCUUCUAGAAACCUGUCUAAAAUCACGAUUGAAUAUGGCUAUCUGACCGUGUCAACUGAUUAAUACAAACUUUUACAUGUUGUGUCCGCGUGUGUUCAUAUAUACGCAGGGCUAUAUCUGCCCCGUGAGCGACCUCAAGUUCAACCUGACGAGCGAAGUGCUCGAUUACUGCUUCUCCGGUGCUGCCUUCCUCAUUCCUUAAUUAACGUGGUCUGGGCUGGAAGCCUCGGACUGGGAACAAAAAAAAAAGUUGAAGUUAUAACGGCGGCGGUCAAAUUUUGUGUGUGGAGCACUUGAUAUGCUGGGUUUAUGCGCAACACGCUCCACUGGGUAGUCUCAGACAUACCGUGAAAAUAUCUCUAUGUCCACGACACAUUAUAGUCACUCGAAAGACCAUAUUAUCUUUCUGUCUCCACGACGGGGCUCCGCCUCCUCACACGGCUCCAAGGCGCCAACCUCUGCUCCGACGGUCCGGCCCUACACGUCGCUACUCCGUCACAGAUGGCCAAGCUCCGGCACUCGUUUCCUCCUCUCCUGCGCUACCACGGCACGAUGAUCGCUGGAGUGGCGCUCGCCACUUGCGCCAAGCCGCCACCGAGGUGCACAGCGCAGGCUCGCAACGUCAGGGCAGGGCCGCCCGGCCGGGACGGCACCCAAGGGCAUCGUGUUGCAGCUGCCGCAGUACAUCAUGUACACGGUGAUGGCUGCCUCAUCAAGCCUUCAACAUGUUGGCCUUGGGUAGCUGGAGUUCUACGCCCAGGCGCCUUGGAUGACGGGUGGACACAAGGGACAAAGAAAGAGAGAGGGAGGGCAUACAAAUCAUUUUAUUAGCUGAAGUGUCCUGGAGACAAAAAUCAUGUACUCGCGGUGUGUGCAUGAGGCUAACUCGACGAAUGGAAAUACUUAGUCUAGGAAUUUAUACAGUACAGUAAAAAAAAGUUACCCACAACUGCUACUGAAAAUGUGCUCCUACACCAGUAGGACUGGACUGGGCAGCUCGCAUAAGCAGUAGUACUUGCGGACAUACAUCGAACAAAGACAAGAAACGAUUUAAAAUCAGUACUUUAUUUAACAUUUUCACAACGGGAGGAAUUGAAGGUUUCACUGGACUUGAUGCUCUAUUGGUAGGCUAUAGAGCUUCCAUUCACCAGCCAUGGCACCUCAGUUAGCCCGGCCGACCGCCGUCCCCCUUGCGCAGCUGCUGCAAUCCACGUCCUAUUUCCGCGUCCAACUUUGCUACUUCCUUCUCCAGUUCCUGUUCAAAAAAAAUUGUAAUUAAACAACUAAGCUACUAGGUCUCGAAAGAAAAUUAGCAAUGCAUAAGAAACACACUGACACUGAGUCACUGAUGACAGUUCGCUAAGAGUACCUUUGAUUUAUCAACUUUCAUAAGGACACCACUUUUCUCGGCCAAUGAUCCAUCUAUUAACUUGGAGCCUGAGCUUAGUAGAACCAUUUGUGUCAUUCUUGUGCUCUUCUCAAGCAGUGCAUGUCCAAGUUUCAUUGUGUCUUGUGACCUCUCCAGUUGAUGCAAGUGCGCUUUCUUAACGUCAAUCUGGGUUUCCAAUAUAUCCACAACCUUCAUGGACACAGGGAAAAUAAGAUGCAUCACUAAAUUUUAUCUGAACUUGAUUUCACAGUUAUUCCUUGAUGAUGAUGCUUUCAUCAAUCGACAUUAGAGUUUAGAACUCCACCGUCUCAGUUUCAAUAGAAAUCCACUGAAAUACGAGUACGUCAUUUUCCUGAGGAGCUAAACCAAUAUAUGAUGCAUUAUUUACACACUAGAAAGGAGAGUUAACAGAUUUCUAACAAAGUUCCGAUCACAAUUCGCAAGCUUACAUCCUUUUGGGAACCUUCCAUGUCAGUUAUGAGCUUCUCGUUCAACUUCGUCGGAAAGUCCAUUUCUUGAGGCAUCUUGGGAUCUUAAUCUGCACGCAGAAAGAAAAAAAAAAGAGUCGCAAGCCGUUAAGUGUUCAGAAUAGUGGUUCUCCUCCUGGGCAACUCAGCAUCUUUUGCACGCAGAAAACAAAAAUCCAAAGCCAUUAAACUACAGUAUGUCAGAGAGGAUUAAUUUAAAAAACAUGCAAAUAAAUCAGAGUACGAGUUCAGAGUAGUUCUUUGUGGAUUUAUCAUGAUUGCAAGGUACAAAUGAAGAUCAUAUAUCGGAGCAUUAGAUUACUGACACAGAACACCAGAUUGAGCAGAUAGUAGGCUACUCCUGCAGACCGAGAGUGACUGGUACAAAUUAAACUAGCAAGGUGAUGAAACCUCGAUCUCUUACCACCACCGCCACCACCGGCACCAGGUUGGUUGACGCUACCGCGCACGCUCUGGUCACCGAGCACACCGACCUCGCCGUCGCCGUCUCCGCCGGCAAGGCCCGCCGCUGCAGCGGAGGAGGAAGAGGCCAUCAGGAGAUGGUGCUUGGUAAGGUGCGGUGGAAUGGGAGCAGUGGUGCUGGCUUUAUAGGCCACUUCGUCUCUGUCCUCUGUUCUCUGGCCUCCCAACCCUCCAGCUUCCGCAUUUCUUUAUCGGUUAAUGCGGUUCAGUUUUUCUCUGGCAGCCAGAAACCUUGGAAACUGUCCGUGUUUGCCAUUUUCUUUUUGAGAUCACAAUCGAUUAGCAAAGAAGUCCGGAAGUCUAACGCUAACGCCGAUGCAUGCUUGCGAGCUGUCGAGUUCUCUGUACUAAACUUUAAGCACUCUGCAGAAGCCAGAUAGUUCAGUCAAAUGCUACAUUCUAUCUAAGGCUUAAUGGCAACUUUUUUGUAACUUCUUUUUUAAUUCAGGAAUAUGCUCGACAAUCUGUCCAUGUAGGCUAUCAUUAUCAAACACCUACACGAAUAGGAUUGUAGCGUUCACUCAUCCUACUUCCAUUCAUCCAGCAUGUACGAUGUGCACCUACACGAAAGCAACCAAACACACCCUUCGUUCAUCUUCAGAGCCAGAAGAGUAUAGGUAGCGGUCUUCCGGGGUCAGUCAACCAAAUGCUAGGCGUCAGGAUAGCCUUACCAGAGUUUACUCCUGCAAAAACAAUCACGUCAACAAAUUCACGUGCUACCUCCACCACCAUACGAACAAAGCAAGCGCUAUCUUAAUGAUGUGAUAUGAGAUUCGAACAGCAACAGUCAAAAAGUCUGUUGCUCGGUACUCUGCUUAGUAUCAAGAGGUGUUUGGGAUACAAGUUGCUAAACUUUAGCAGAAUCAUAUCGGAUAUUCGGAUGCUAAUUAGGAAGAGUAAAUAUGAUCUAAUUACAAAACUAAUUGCACAGAUGGAGUCUAAUUCGUGAGACGAAUCUAUUAAGCCUAAUUAGUCCAUGAUUUGACAAUGUGGUGCCACAGUAAAUGAUGGAUUAAUUAGCUUUAAUAGAUCUCGCGAAUUAGACUCCAUCUGUGCAAUUAAUUUUAUAAUUAGACUAUGUUUAAUACUACUAAUUAGUAUCAAACAUCCAAUGUGACAGGUGCUAAAGUUUAACGGGAGUAUCCAAACCACCCCUUAGAUCAUAUGCCAGUGCUACCAAUAGAAACGUGUCAUUAAUUCAAUCAGUCAGUGGCAAAUUAAUACACAGUAAGCAUCAUCAAACCGAGCAUACAGAUGCUAGAAAUAGGUAAGCAUGAUUAGCCGGUUACACAUGAACGAUCAGAUGAUCGCACACAAGAGAAAGCCAAGCAGGCUACUACAUAUGCACACCUGCACAGCAUGAGGCAGAGUCUUGCUUCGCUAUCUCCAUGACACCAACAAAGUUGUGAUCUUCGAUUGCGUCCGAGAUAUACCGAUAUUUAGACAAGUCGGGUCUGCUAUUCCAAUAGAAGCCUUUCAUGAGGAAACUUUCCCGCCGGUUUUGGUGUCGCUCCUAUGUUGUUUAUUUUUCUUGAAACUUGACUUUGACUUGCGACCGGUAACCAUGAGAUCACAAAUUCUCAUGUCUACCUCUGUAUCAUCAAAGCCAAUAUCCGAGACAUCUUGGACCUGCUGUGUCGUAGCCAUCAGCUGUUUAGCUGAAGCCUUCUCGGACUCUGCCUCUUCAAUUUUCUUCUGAGUGCGUUCCAGGUAGGCAGCAUAGGCUUGCAGCAAACAGAAGAUCAGUAAAUUGGUUGAAAAGGCCAUCAUAUGUAUACAAAUUAUAUAUAUACCCAAAAAAAAAGCCUUACCAGCAAUCUCCUUCUUGAGAGCUGCCUUGGUCUCAACAAGUUUACGGUCCAUAGCCAUCAGCUGGUCAACGGCAGUCUCCGAUUUGGUCACUUGAGUUUGGAGAUGGCCGAUCUCCUCGAAGUUAGAUGCAGCUUGGCAAAGGAUUGCCUGCAAAACACGUGUAAGAAAAAGAAAAAGAUCAACAACUUGACUACAGGUCAUACCUCUGCUUGCUUGAGGCACGGAACAGACUCCAGAAUAAUGUCCCCGGAGUUUUUGGUCCCAAUAUCAGUGCAUCCAUUGAGCCCGUCAUUCAAGCCCUGAGAAGUUGACUGAACUGUUGGAAUGUGGAAAGUUUAAAGAAGAGAUGGGCUCAGUGACAAUGUUGAAAUCUAUUCAGAUGAACAUGGAGUUACGAGAUACGCAGAGAAAAUCCAUAGGCAGAAUUGCAGAUGAAAUGGAGUUACAAGAUACACAGAUGAACAUGGAGUCACAAGUUUACUCGGCCAAGUUUUUUUUUGAAUUUUCUAAAAAAUGUAUCACAUACUCCAGAUGAAUAAAUAUGGACACUUCAAUGGACAGUUGGCUUACUUUUGACUAAUCUUCAGUUUUUCUAUUGACACCAAUUUUCUCAGCCAAUGAUGCAUACACCAAGUUGGAGCUUGAGUCUAAUUGUUUGAAAGUGGGAAAGAAAACGAACUUUGUCAUAAUGCCUUUGGUGCACAGCCCAAAAAAAAACAAAGCUGAACAAUGAAUAUUAGGGCUGGCUAUGCUUAAAACCAACCUGCUUGCAUAAACAAGUGCACAUCAGACCAAAAUAAUUUGGCAAUACUUGAAAAGGGUUAAACCCUAUUACUCAGGUAACCUAUAAUAGCUAUAUUAAAAAUUUCAGCAUCAAUACUUUUAAGGAUUUUUUGUAACUAUAUUUUGAAGGUUUGAUGGAACUGGAUCAAUUGAAAAUAUGUGAUGCAUGGCAUAAAUAUAACUGAUGAUUCUAUUUUGGUGAAUUUUGAGAAACUUCCCAUCACCAUACAUACAAAAAGGGGCAUGUAAAAAGAUUGUAUACCUUCCACAGACGACUUGACCUCCUCAGGCUGUGGAAUUGGAAAGAAUGUUCUGUACAGCUCCUCAAGUUGCAGCAAGUCCUUUCUCUUAGUGUCAAUCUCAUUUUCCAGAAUCUUCAUAAUCUUCAUAAUCUUGAUUGAUAACAAGAAAAGUUACAGCAAAUUAGACAUUUCUACUCUACCUCCAGAACUUAGUAAGCAUUCACAAACUUCUAAUGAACCAUGAUUUCAUUUUGAUUAGCCCAGGUUUACAUUGAACUAACCCUUCAUCCAUGGUACAAGUGUAAUAAACAUAGGAGGUCUCAGGUCUAGUGUUGUGAUUCUCUUCUUCUUAAGCGAAUGGCCGAGCUCCUGCGCUUCCUUUAAAAGAAAUUACUAAAUGAAAUCUUACAUGCUUAUAGAGGCCUUGCAGCUCCUUAUUCCACUUCCUCAUGCUAUCGUUGAUCUUGGCCUGCAACUCCUCAUUCCCCUUCGUCAGGCCAUCAUCCUUGGCCUGCAGCUCCUCAAUCCGCUUCGUUAGGCUGUCAUUCCUGGCCUGCAGCUCCUUGUUCCCCUUCGUUAGGCUUCCAUUCUUGGCUUGCAGCUUCUCACUCCGCUUCCUUUGGCCGUCAUUCUCUGCAUGCACCUCCUCAAUCCGCACCAUGAGGCCGACAUUCUUGGCUUGUAGCAUCUCAGUCUGCUUCCUGAGGCCAUCAUUCUUGGCUUGCAGCUCCUUAUUCUGCUUCAUCAGGUCAUCAAUCUUGGCUUGCAGCCCUGCACUCCACUUCAUUAGGCCGGCAUUUUUGGCAUGCAGCCUCCUGUUCUGCUUCAUCAUGACAUCACUAAUGGUUUGCAGCUCCGCUAGGCUGACAUUCUUGGCUUGCAGCUGCUCAUUAUGAAUCACUAGCCCAUCAUGCUUGGAUUGCAGCUCCUCAUUCUGUUGCAUCAGGCCGUCAUUGUUUGCUUUCAACUCAUUCUGGAUAGUUAGGCCGCCAUUUUUGGCUUUUGGCUCCCCAUUCACCAUCUUCAUGCCGUCAUUACUGGUUUGCAGUACCUCAUUCUGCUUCACCAGGCCACCAUUAUUUGCUUGCAACUCCUCAUUCUGCUUCACCAGGCCAUCAUUCUUGUCGUACAACUCCUCAUUCAGCUUUCUCAUUCCAUCAUACUUGGCCUGCAUCUCCUCAUUCUGCUUCCUCAAGCACUGUAUCUCUUUCACUUUCACAGCCAGCUCAACUCUCAGCUUCUGAUUCGCCUCACAGUAUCCAAGCUCUUUCACAUCCUCAUCUAGUUGAGCCCUCAGGUCUUUGAUCUCCUUUAAAAUUCUCUGAGAAUCCUCACACACCACCGUCAAAUGUUCUGCCCAUGGGUGACAAAUAUUAAAGCCAGCAUGAAGAAGAGCGUGAAUGAUUGAAGUGGCUUUUCAGUAACACGUACCUCCAUUCCCAACCAGACUGCCCAAAUCUCCGGACAGAACCGCGGCUUUCCUCUUUCUGCUUCCAGAUUCUGCCCCAAGAUCCUGACCUGCUGCAGCUGCAAAAACAAAGAAAUGAUUUCCCUUGAGUAAGUGUAAGCUAGAUACCCCAUUUCAGGUGCAGCAAGGCGAGUAAUGUAGUACGAGUCUGUUCCUGAGAAUAUUACACAUCACUGCUGACCACAAACAAAGACAGUAAAAGGAAUGAGAGAAUGAGAUGGCUGAACACAAACUGAUUUGUUUCAACAAUAAGAAGUGUCAACAAAACUGAUGAUCCAAGCAACCGAUUAGAGUCAGUCGACAUAUCGUGUCAGCAUUCAGAUACUCUGCAUGCUUGAUUUUGACCAAUACUCACAGUUGAUUUCACUUGACAUUUGCCUUAAUUCAAGCGCGAUUGCUCCCCGGUAGCCGUAUCACGCCACUAUACUCCUCUAUUUCCACAAGUUCCACCAUUCAGACUAUUACUCCUGAAGGCCAAAAGGUCUCGAAUCGAAAGAGUAUGCGACCCUCACCCAAGGUCGCAGGAAAUGAAAUGAAGGGAAUGAGCAAUCCGGUAUUCGAAAUGCAUGACAGAUCAGACUAGGUAUCCACGCCGCUCGACCGCAAAGAACAACAGGGAAGUGUAGCUAAACUGAAAUGCAGGGAAGUAGUACAAGCAGAUCAAGGGCUCCAGGCACCCUCGCAAACAAAAAUAAAAAAUAGAAAAAGAAAUGUGAUCAGGUGGGAGAAAGAGAAAUCGUGGCUUCUCUUACCACCAGCAGCACUUGGAUCGACUCCACGGGGGAUGGGCCGCCCGCCGCCCUCUCCCGCCCCGUCGUCUCCGCCGGCGGGGGCCAUGGCUACGGCGGAGGAAAGAGUGGUGUUUUUCUUUGUUGCCUCGCUUGCUAACGGCAGGCCACGGGGGUGCGACGUGUCACUUGUGAGCUCUCUGCCUCUCUGCGCCUGUCUCUCGAGUAUCCACCUCCCACUCUCCCCAAUAAAAAAUAUUUUUUAUGCUCUCUUUCCAAAAUAUUGUUUAUGCUUUGAUUGCCUACUUAACGCAAAGUACUCCUCUAUCUACAAAUGAGACACCGAAGAGAGAGAGAGAGAGAGAGAGAGAGUGCAUGGCAUUAACUGCACAUUUUACCUGAAAACGAUUGAGGGUGCCAUGAACAGACAUGUCUACAUACAUACAUCAUUAUCAUUGUGUCAAACUCUAAAAUAACUUACCGAAUGCAUUUGCAGUCGUGGGGAAUAUUUCUAGAACAAUUUAAAUUGCAUUUAAAAACUCAUAUAAGAAAAGAAGACAUUGCAUAUACAAUGGAAUGGAAUACCAUGUUUGAAUGCAAAACUGAAUCCCUGCAAUGGAACUGGGGUUUUUUUUUCAAAGAAAAAACAAAAAAAUUGCUCAUCUCACAACAGUAGGCGUCAGUGUAGCCUUAUCAGAGUUUGCUCCUGCUAAAACCAUCACCAUAUGUCCAUAACCCCUCAUGCACGCUCUGAAAUGAGAUACCUCAACCACGCAAGAACACAACGGCUUAGUAAUCAGAUGCAAUGCAAGUGCCACCAAUAGAAACUUGUUCUCCAAUGCAGACAGUCAGUGGGAAAUGCCACUGCAUUGAUUUUACAAAGAAAAAAAUGAAUACUCCAAAAUGAUCAGAUGAACAUGUAUCAUCGGACCAACACCAGGUAGCUAAAUUACGGUACAAAUGCUGUAAAUAGGCAGCAUGAUAAGCCGAUUACGCAUGAAUGCUCAGACGAUCGCACACAAUUGAAAGCCAAGCAAGGCCACAGCACUUGCACCACACCUGCACAAUAAUACAAUAUACAGACACCUAGGAACACAAAGGCAACGGGUUGGUGUCAUUCAGUUCACCGAUCACAUCAGUUUUCAGGACAGAAAGCGGCAACAACACCACCACAUGCACACAUCACAUACGCUUGUAAUGUCUCUAGGCAAAGGGAGAACACAGAGGAUACAUCUCCUACCUCAGGAGUCAGGAGGGGGGAUCCAGCAGCACAGCUGCACGCGGCUCCCACAAAAGCACCAAUGGCGCGCAUGCACUACUACUUAGUGGCUUGGUGGGCUUGAGGACCCUGUGUUGUUUCACGUUUCAUCUGCCCAAACAGGUGCUUGAGGACCUCCUCCAUCGUCGCCCUCCAGCCUUCCCCAAAGUUCCAGAGCUCGGGCACCACAUAACGCCCGCUGGGGUUGUACUCGUUCAUCUCCAUCAGCGCGGCCUUCACUGCAUUGCACACAUCCUCGCCAUACUCGAUCAGCAGGAACUUCAGUUUUGGAUCAUCGUCAUCUAGAAAUUCCUGCAACAAAGUAGGAUGACUAUGAUUCCCAAACAAAUACUAGCCUCUACAAAUGCCAAAGAUAACACCAAACUUGGAUAGAAAAAUACAGUAAAUACCUUGUGUUCUCCAUUAACCUGAACAAUCAUAAAAGGAUGCCAGAAUGGGUUCUUCAAUUCCUCCUGCCAAGUUGAGACCAACUCUGCUGCUCUCAUCUGGUAAUCGUCGUCUCCAUAUUUUCUCUUACAUGCAUCUUGAAAUGGCUUCUCGUUAAGUUCUCCCAUUCUUUUGAUCCCAAUAGCUCUCUGCCCAUUUAACUCGUCUAAACCCUGAGGAUCACGAUAAUCAUUUCAUCAAUGAAAAACAGCUUAUGAACAUCUGCUGAUGGAGAACACGUUAGAUGCAUGGUAACUGUUAAAACAUUCACAAAAAUAAAACGAGCAGUACCACAAUCAACUCUUCAAACUUUCACGCUCUUUCCUCACAAGACAUCCGGUCAAAUCUUCCAGCCCGUCAUUAUUAGAUUCCAGCUCCUCAAUCCCAUUCAUCAGGCUACAAAUCGUGGCUUGCAGGUCCUCAUUCCUCUUCAUUAGUCCAUCAUUCUUGGCUUGAACUUCCUCACUCUGCUUUGUUAGGCCAACAUUCUUGGCUUGCAGCUCUCCAUUCCGCUUCCUCAUGCUGUCUAUAUUGGUGUGCAGCUCCUCAUUCUCCCUCGCCAGAUCGUCAUUCUUGGUUUGGAGGUCCUUAUUCUGCUUAGCCAGGCAAUCAUUCUUGGCCUGCAGCUCCUUAUUCUGCUUCACCAGGCCGACAUUCUUUGCUUGCAGCUCCUCAUUCCCCUUUGUUAGGCUUACAUUCUCGACCUGCAGCGCCCCAUUCCGCUUCCUCAUGAUGUCUAUUGGUUCGCAGCUCAUCAUUCUCCUUCACCAGAUCAUCAUUCUUGGCUUGCAGUUCCUUGUUCUGCUUCGCCAGGUCAUCAUUCUUGACAUGCAGCUCCUCAUUCUGCUUCCUCAUUCCAUCAUUCUUGCCUUGCACCUCCUCAUUCUGCUUCCUCAGGCACUGCAUCUCUUUCGCCUUCAGAACCAGCUUAACUCUCAGCUUCUCAUUCUCCUCAACCAGAUCAUCAUUCUUGGCUUGCAGGUCCUUGUUCUGCUUCGCCAGGCCAUCGUUCUUGGCCUGCAGCUCCUUAUUCUGCUUCACCAGGCCGGCAUUCUUUGAGUUCAGCUCCUCAUUCCACUUUGAUAGGCCGACAUUCUUGGUUUGCAACUCCCCAUUCUGCUUCCUCAUGCUGUCUUUAUUGGUUCGCAGCUCCUCAUUCUCCUUCACCAGAUCAUCAUUCUUGGCUUGCAGUUCCUUAUUUUGCUUCGCCAGGCCAUCAUUCUUGGCUUGCAGCUUCUCAUUCUGCUUCCUCAUUCCAUCAUUAUUGCCUUGCACCUCCUCAUUCUGCUUCUUCAGGCACUGCAUCUGUUCCGCCUUCUGAACCAGCUCAACUCUCAGCUUCUCAUUCGCCUCACAGUACCCAAGCUCUUUCACAUCCUUAUCUAUUUGAGCCUUCAGGUCUUCAAUCUCCAUUAAAAGCUUCUGAGAAUCCUCGUACGCCACCUCCAAAUGUUCUGCCCAUGGGCAACAAAUAUUAAAGCCAUGGCAUGAAGGGUGAAAGAUCGAAGUGGGUUUUCAGUAACACGUACCUCCAUUCCCAACCAGAUUGCUCGAAUCUUCAGACAUAACUGCAGCUUUCCUCUUUCUGCUUGCCCCAAGAUCCUGGCCUGCUGCAGCUACAAAAACAAAGAAAACAUUUGCUUUCAAGAAGUGCAAGCUAGAUAACCCACCACAGGUACAACUAGGCGUAUAAUAUAUCACAAAGUCUGUUCCUAAGCCUUACAUAUCACCGCUGAACACAACCAAACACAGUAAAUGGAACGAGAGAAUGAGAUGACCGAACAGAUACUGAUUCUUUUUCAAUAAAACUAAACAUAAAGAUGUGUCAACAAAACUGAUGAUCCAGGCAACCAAUUAGAGUUGACAUAUCGUGUGACAGCCUUCAGAAACUCUGCACGCUUGAUUUUGACUAAUUGUCGCAGUUGAUUUAACUUGGCAUUUGCUUUAAUUCAAAUGCGAUUGUUCCUUGUAGGCAGCAUCACGUCAAUAUACUCCUCUAUUCCUACAAGUUCCACCGCUCAGAUAGUCAGAUUAUUACUCCUGAAGGCCAAAAGGCUUGUGCCUCCAAUCGAAAGAGUAUGGUAUUCGAAAUGCAUAACAGAUCAGACUAGGUAUCCAAAUACACCGCUCGAUCGCAAAGAACAGUAGAGAAGUACUGUAGUAGAUAAACUAAACUGCAGGGAAGUAGUACUAGUAGCAGAUCAAACGCUCAAGGUGCCCUCCCGCAAACAAAAAGAAAAAAAAAUGUGAUUAGGUAAAAGAAAGGGGAACCACCAGCAGAAGCAGAACUUCGAUCAACACCACGGCGCAUGGGCGGCCCGCCGGACUCUCCAGUCUCGUCCCCUCCGCCGUCGGUGGCCAUGGCUACGGCUGCGGAGGAAGAGGGCACUGAUGAAGAGAUGGGGUUUUCUUUUUGCUUUCCUGCCUCGCUUGUUAACGGCACUACCGCACUAGUAGGUAUACAAACUACGCCACUCGACCGCAAAGAACAUCAUAGAAGUAGUAGACAAACUAAACUGCAGGGAAAUUGUAGUUGCAUAUCAAGGGCUUAAGGCACCCUUGCAAUUUGCAAACAAAAGUAGAAAAGAAAAGGGAAAUCGUUUCUUCUCUUACCACCACCAGGAGGAAUUCGAUCGACACCACGGCACACGGGCGACCCGCGGGACUCUCCCAUCUCGUCACCUCCCCGGCGGGGGCCAUGGCUACGGCGGCGGAGGAAGAGGGCACCGAUGAGAAGAGGGGGUUUUCUUCCUUUCUGCCACGCUUGCUAACGGCACUACGGCAGGGGAACGGCCCAAGGUGGGGUUCUGUGAGCUCUCUCGACCUUCCAAGAGACCCACAAGGCUGGUUUGGUUGGAGGCAAUUGAUGGGGGUAGAGAGAGUUUAGAUGCAAAAAAUUAAAAGUAUAUUGUUUGUUGUCUGUUUGGUGGGUUUAGGAAUUUUAAUUGAAAGAGUAAUGGGAGUUUAGAAAAGUAACUCUCACCGAUCACUUUAUAUGAAAGGGGUGGAAAUUUAUUUUAAGUGGAAGAUAGAUGAAUCUACACUGUUAAUCAUUACUUGAUAUAAUUUUCCACCUCUAAAGUCUAAAGCCCACACAAAACAAGAGAUAUGAAAAUCUCACUUAAAUUUCUACUCUUAAUUCCAUCCAAAAGACAAACAUGCAAUGGGACUUGUUGGGAUCUGGAUUUGAAUUGUAAACGUCACCCUCACAUGCCGCUUUAAAGAAUUGGAUCAUCACAAUGAUAAUCGAAAUAAUCUUCACCUUCGCUCAAAGGUAACACCCUCGUUUCCUUUUCUUACCUUCAUCACCUCGGCUGCGAGGGUGCGGGGAAAUUGUUUUGAUCGUGUCUGCAGGUACUCGCGCUGGAGGGCGUGAAGCGAAGGUAUUCGGCAAACUUAGAAGAGCGAGGCGAAGGUUGUGAGCACAUUCGAUGUCCAAAAUCCAAGGCCUAAGAUCAUUUGGGCGAAGGUGUGAAGGAUUAAGGUCACGUUGUGAACGUGACCCCGGUGAUAUGAAUAGCAUGACUCGGUUAGGGUGUACAAAUCGGAUUAGAACUCUUUCUUGUACAACAUAUUUUUGGAAUGUAAUGGUUAAGUGAGGGUAAAUUCGGUAUGUAAAAGUCGGUUGGCCUCCCUAUAAAAGGGGAGGCACCCCCACUGUACAAGGGUUCACAUUUUUUAGAAAUACAAGCCUUAAGAGUUUUGUUUUCCAUUUGUGUGUGCUUUCUUUAAGUUUUCGUUGAAGAGCUCACUCUAAACCAACAUUUUGGCGCCCAUUGUCGGUGUUUUACACUCGGCAACCUACCGAGGGUAUCCUUAGAUAGUAGAUUGGUUGGUGGGGGAUCGUCGGAUCUGGAACUUGAUGGUAAAAUCAAGGAGAUUUAUACAGGUACGGACCGCCAGAGUAGCGUAAUACCCUACAUCCUAUUUGGGGUGUUGUAUAUUGCGGCCCUACGCUUGGGUGUUGCUUGGUGUUGAGGAUUUGAUCCUCUGUUGUGGUUUUGCCGAUCUAGGUACCCCUACCCUCCUUUAUAUACUCCAAGGGGGGUGGGAUUACUAGUCGGUUACAAGGCAGAAGUCCUAUUAGAAUUAUAGGGUACGAGUCCUAAUAGAAUUACAGGGGAAUCCUAGGAGUCCGUCUUCUUCCUUCCUUGCAGAUACUAGGGAUUUAUCCCCGACAAGCCACCAAGCGCUUCAUAGUCGAAUGCAGUAGUCUUCAAAUACUUUGUAGAUCCUCACCAAGUAGUAUUAGUUCUCCUCGAGUAAUUUGUCUAGCUGAAUCUUCAAAGUUAUUUGAAGCUACCAUGAAAUUAUGGUGUGCUCAAGUCCUUGAUCGUCUUGAUUUCGUAAUCUUCAUCUUUGGAAUGUGAUAUGGAGGGCGGCGGAAGUUGCACUCCAUAUGGAGUAACCCCUGAGCCUUAGGUUGAAUCGAAGAAUCAGGCUAAGGGUCAAUAAAAUCUUGAAUCUUCUUCUUUUAUCUUGAAAAAAUCAACUACUGGGUGUAGCUUAUUAGCCCCCGAGCCUUGGAAUGAUUAAAUAAUCAAUCUGAGGGUUUUCAAUCUUCACAAAAUUAUCAUCUGAGUAGUUUCGCGGCAUUCAAACCCCAAGCUUUGGAGCUGGGUGAACCGUAGGAGCCACAUCGAGUAGUUAUUUGGCGCUUAGCCCCCGAGCUUGGAAGCUAGCUGAGCCAUUGGAGAUAUUACUGAGUACUAAUUGGUGCUUAGCCCCUCGAGUUUAGGAACUAGCUAAGCCAAUGGAGGUAUGCUGAGCGUCCUGGAGAGUCAUCGCCCAAGCUUGACCUAAAAAAUGAUGCAUAUAUUAUGUAGCGUAUUGUAAAUUUUGGAACUACUGAAAAUUAUUUAGUGAUGAAUAUAAUGUAAAUGUUGUGUACCAUGCUCUUGUUUCGGUCAUAUUUUUUUCGAGUAGUUAGCCUAUUACAUUUAGGCUCUCAGUCCCUGUUUAGCCAUUGCCACUGCGUGUGAGAUCUUUGUCUCGUGUACGCGUACUAGCACUGCUGCUACGGAGAUCUUUGUCGCCUAGCGUUUAGGCAUGACAGAAGAUCCGAGACUUUCACGGAUUAAGGUGUUUUCUACUCGAAGAGAUUAGCGACCGCUAAGAAGAGACAUUGAAAAUAAGUAGUUGGCAUUAUGAUAAUAAAAAGAGUGCACUUAAAGUAGUCGUUAAGACUUUUUCUGCCUUUUGGCGAGUAUAGCGCGUGUUGCCAUGCACAAUAUUUGUGCCUCCUUAGGGUGUAACCAAUGUGAGCCUCCAGCGCUCAGUCCAUCAAACUCGUGGCCAUAGCCUCCGAAAUUAAAUGUACCAAACCUAUGGUGGUGCCUCCAGAACUCAGUGCACCAAACCCGUGGCUAUAGCCUCUAUAAUUUUGUGUACCAAGCACAUGGCUGUCGGUCAACAUCCCCCAAGAGUAGUUGGCGAAGUGUAGCUCUAGAGGGUAAUUCUUGUCGAGAGAUGUACACAGAUAGGUAGCCAGCGUAUUGGCCAACCACGCUGAAAACAAGUCAGAGAAAAAAUAAUUAUUAAAAAAGUGAUUUAGCUUGAUUCAUGGGCGAUUGCCGAUGAAGCCAUGGCGGUCGUAGAUGAAGCCACGACAAUUUGUUGAUGAAGCCAACUAGUCGAAGUUGAUUCCAACUAGUUGUCGAUGGUGUGCGACCUGCCCUGACUAGUUUUUUAGUCGAGACGAGUAGUCGAAGUAGUCGUUGGCAAGUCGCGGGUCAAUUUUGUCGAAUGUAUCUAUGCGUGCUGAAACCGCAUACUGCUUUGCCAGAGAUUUGUUGGAGGUUACUAACCUUUAUUGGAGAAUCACCGUGUAGGGAACAGGUGCGGCUCUUUGUUGAUCUCGAUGCUUCCCUUGUGCUCCGUUUUCUUUUUUGCCUCUGCAUGUGAGUAGUAAUUUUCAACUAGUUGAAUUUUUAGCCGCACAGUAGGGACAACAGCCAUGCUCUGCUCCAUUUUGAUGUGUGUGCUGCUACUUGAUUCAACUUUCUGCAGACUUGAUUUUCUACCGAUAACGCAGUAGCUUGUGGAGAUGGAGUCAUUAACGAUUGGUGCAAGUACUCCUCUCCGCCUUGGACUUGAAGAAGUUGACUCCCCCUUGAAACAGAUGCCAGGUCCAACGGGGCCCGAAAAAAUUGAAUCUAUCUCGGAUUGAUAGCAGUAGUCUGCUCUCCGUUGUAAAUUGACUUAGACCAGUGACGCUGACUUCUUUUUUCCGGACUCUGGCGAAUUCCAAAGAUGCGAUGAUGCGCGUCGGCUCCUUCUCGGACUCGACGAGCAACAAAUAGAUUGAUUUUGUGGAUGAGGUCCUUCAAGCUCACCCGAUGAUCUCGACAAUCACCCCUACCUAGCGCGCCAGAUGUCGGUGUUUUAUACUCGGCAACCUACCGAGGGUAUCCCGAGGUAGUAGAUUGGUUGGUAAAGGAAUCGCCGGAUCAGGAACUUGAUGGUAAAAGUGGGGAAACAAGGCACAGAUUUAUACAGGUUUGGGCCGCCAGAGUAGGAUAAUACCCUACGUGCUGUUUAGGGUGUUGUAUAUUGCGCCCUGCGCUUGGGUGUUGUUUGGUGUUGAGGAUUUGGUCCUCUGUUAUGGUUCUGCCGAUCUAGGUACCCCUGCCCCUUUAUAUACUCCAUGGGGCGGGAUUACUAGUCGGUUAUAAGGUAGGAGCCCUAUUAGAAUUACAGGGUAUGAGUCCUAGUGGAAUUAUAGAGGAAUCAUAGUAGGAAUCCAUCUUAUUCCUUCCUUGCCGAUACUAGGAAUCUAUCCCCGACACCCACCAUUUGUGCUCGAGAAGAAUUCACGAUGGCUCCUGCUAGGAAGAAGAUAACGAUGGCAAAUUCAAGCAAAUCAAUCCCGAGUGAAGAAGCAAACCCUAGAGGCCCAAAUGCAAGCAUAAAUCAAGAAGCCAAAGGGAAAAUGGUGAGAAUCCCCCACAGCAAGAGACUACCACAGACCAGCAAGAAACAAGAGCUUCCAUUAAUUUGACUGCACAUGAAAUUGAAAUGGCUAGGCUCAGGCAAGAAGCGGUGGAAUUGAACCAAGCAAGGCAAAUAUUAAUAGAUCAAGCAACAUCGCAGGCCGCUAAAGAGGUGCAACUAGCUAGAGACGAAAUCAAGAGAUUAUGUGAGUGGAAUUGGAACGACUCAAAGAAAAGCAAGUUCAUCAGCAAAACACCUAUGCUCAUCCCAAUCAAGAGAGGCAAGCCCAUCAUCAAAACACCUUCGCUCAAUCCAAUCAAGAAAGGCAAUUCAAGCAGCUGAGCAACUUCGCAAACGAAACACAAGGUUUGGGGUAGGAAUCAUGGCUAAAUAGUUUAAGUCAGGUCCUUCAUCACAAGAAGUGAGAGUCUUGCAUACCAGAACAUGGGAUCAAAAAUCGUCUUUGUCACAAGAGCUCCAGCUAACCCCUUGAUCUCAAACUUACAGGCUAGGACCCUUGCCAAAGUACUCAGGACACUCUGAUACAAGGAAAUUCUUGAUGAGUUAUGAGGCUGCAAUACUAUCAGCCGGAGGUGAUGAAUCAGUUCUGGCAAAGUCUUUUAUCAUUGCAGCAGAAGAUGCAGCAACUAUGUGGUAUUCAUUGUUGAACCCAGGGGUAAUUCAUUCGUGGAAAGAUUUGAAGCUAGGGAUACUGGAAAAUUUCCAGGGUUUUUAGAGACUAAAAUUGACGGAAAAUGAUCUGUUUUGUUGCAAGCAGAAAGAAUAGGAGUCAUUGCAAGGCUAUUUCAAAAGAUUUGUGCACUUGAGAGCGCAAGCUCCAAAUGUGUUAGCUUCAGUAGCUAUCAGAGCGGCCAUCAUUGGCUUAAAGAUAGGGCAAUGUCGAUCCCAUCUCAUGCGAGAAACACCAAAGACAAUCCAAGUGUUGUAUGAAGAAUUUGAGAAAUAUUGUAGGUCUGAUAAUGACUACCUCAUGUUCAUGGAGGAGCAAUCUCAACAAAAGCAGGCUGCAAGACAAAACUAUAGCAACAACAAGGGUUGGGUCAGUCCUAGAAGUAUUCCCACCCAACCAACAAGAAUAGUAUUUGGUGUCAAGGGAAACAAUCAGUCAAAACAGAUGGAGCAGAAUUCUACUAACACAAACAACCAAUCUGCAAACAAUUCAAACACUUAGUCCCAGGGAGGAUUUAGAGGUGGAAGAGGUGGAGGAAGAGGAAGAGGCUGAGGUAGAGGUCAACCCCCUCACCAGAGAAGGAAAUUUCAUUGCAUUUUUCAUGGGGAAAAUUUUGAUCAUGGCUCCACAUAUUGCUCGAACAAGAAAAGGAUGGAUGCAAUACUCGAGAAAGAGAAAAAAACAAAAGGAGAGAAUGAACCUAGUUAAUCACACAUCUACACCUUGGCUUUCACAACCUUAUUGCCCAGUCUACUGAGGAGUAAAUUCAAGAACAGUUCAUGCUUCUACACUUGCAAGCUCAGCAUCCACACCAACUUUCAAUUAUCAGCCAACCCAUGCAUUCAAUUAUUAACCCACACAAGCUUGCAGUUAUCAGUCAACUCCCACUUUCAAUCAUCAACCAAUUUGGCAAUCUCAAACUUUACAAGCUCAGAACGUGGAAAAAAGAGCUCUGCAUGAACACCACAUAAUCCCGUAGCCACCACCAUAUUUCGGAGUAUCAGCACCUCCACAGCCAACGAAGGUGGAAGGGAAAUUAGAGAAAUCAGAUGCAUUGCCGACAAUCGGGAUGAUUAUGCCAAUAACCAGAGGAUCAGCCUUGGAAUUCGAAAGUAAGAAACAAAGAAACAAUUAAAAUUUAGAGAGGUAGGCAACAUAUUUGUGGAAGGCAAAGUGAAGAAAACCAAAUGAUCUCAUGUCCCAAUCACCUUGACGGAGGAUGACAUGCAGUUGAAAAGCUAUCAUCACAAUGAUGCCAUGGUAAUCAAUGCAAACAUUACAAAUUGGGAAUUGGAAAAAUCUUGGUGGAAAAUGGCUCUUCCACGGACAUCAUGUUCGCCAGCACCUUCGACAAGAUGGAGUUAAACAGGAAUCUGUUGCAACCCCCAGACACGCCGUUGUAUGGUGUCGGAGGAAAAGUAAUACAUGCAUUAGGAAAAAUUUCCUAACCAGUCUCGUUCCAAACAGUUCAAAAUUCAAGAACAGAGUAUAUAUCAUUUGAUGUGGUUGAAAUGUAUUAUCCAUAGUUCGGAAUUUUUGGUAGAGGAUUUUUUGAACAAAUUUGAAGCUGCAAUUCAUCAACCCUAUCUAUGUAUGAAGAUGCCUACGUUGCAUGGUGUCAUCACCAUUUUUGGAGAUCAAGGUGACGGAAAAAACAUAGAAAGGAGGAGAAUUCUGGGUCAAAGAAAUGUGAAUGCACUUGAGGCAGAGAGUCAAGUAAAGAAGGUUAUCAAAGAGCCCAAAGGAGAUAAAGAGAAAGUAAACAUCGAGGAAAAUUGUGACACAAAAAGAGUGUUAUUUGAUGACAUGGUCUUUGGCCAUGAAGUAAUCAUCAGGACUGAUCCUGAUCCUGAGGAGGAAGAGAAAUUGGUUGAAUUUCUUCGCAAGAACAAAUAUGUAUUUGCAUGGUCUGCAAAUGAAUUAGUGGGGGUCAACAGAAAUAUUACUGAACACAAGCUAAGCAUCAAAAAAGCAAUAAGACCAAAGAGGCAGAAGCUGAGAAAGAUGUCAGAUGACAAGGUAGCAGCAAUUAAAUCUGAGGUCCAGAGAUUGCUCGAUGCGAAGGUCAUCAGAGAGGUUGAGUAUCCCCAAUGACUAGCCAAUACAGUCCCUAUCAAGAAAAAGAAUGGAAAGUGGAGAAUGUGCAAAGAUUUCACCAAUCUGAAUAAGGCUUGCCCAAAAGAUAAUUUUCCUCUACCUAGAGUUGACAAAGUGAUUGAUGCGGCAGCAAGAGCAGCAUUAUGUCACUCCUCAAUUGUUUCUCAGGUUAUCACCAGGUGUGGAUGAGAAAGGAAGACGAAGAGAAAACCAAUUUCAUCACCCCAUUCGGAACAUAUUGUUUUGUCCAAAUGCCGGAGGGGCUCAAGAACGCUGGGCCAAUGUUCACGCGCAUGACUGAUGAAGUGUUGAAACCUCAUAUUGAUAGAAAUAUAAUGCAUACGUUGAUGACAUCAUCAUGAAAAGUGACCAAAGAGAGGAUCACAUCCAAGAUCUUGCAGAGACUUUCGCUAGGCUCCGCGAAGCAAACUUAAAAUUGAAUCCGGAAAAUUGUGUUUUUGGAUUCCAGAAAGGGAAAAUGUUGGGUUGUCUUGUGUCCACCAAGGGGGUAGAGGCAAACCUAGAUAAGAUAAAAGCAAUCAGAGUUAUGGAAGAACCCAAUUCCAGAAAGGAUCUCCAAAAGCUCAUCGGAAGAAUUGUGGCGCUAAACAGAUUUAUAUCAAAAUCAGCUGAAAGAAGUUUGCCCUUUUUCAAGGUGCUAAGGGGGGCUGGAAAGCUAGAAUGGGGUCCUGAGCAGAGCAAAGCAAUCGCGGAAUUGAAAUAUUACCUUGAGAAAAUAGCUAUACUAUCACCUUGGCAAUUGGGGGAACAUCUCUUCAUGUAUAUUGCCGCAUCCCAAUCAGCGGUAAGCGUCGUCCUAGUGUGAGAAGUUGAAAGCGAAGGUGCAAUGAAACAAAUGCUUGUAUAUUGUGUGUCAGAGGCACUGUCAGGUUCCAAGUUAUUGUAUUCUGAACUGGAAAAGAUUGCUUUUGCAGUGAUCAUGGCAUCCAGAAAGUUAAGGCAUUACUUUGAGGGUCACAAAGUUACCGUGCUAUCAGAUCAACCGUUCAAUGACUUGUUUCCAAACAGAGAAGCUUCAAGCAGAAUUGCAAAAUGGGCAACUGAAUUGUCCAAGCAUGUAAUAGACUUUGAGAAGAGGGGAGCCAUAAAAUCUCAAGUGCUGGCAGAUUUUGUCAUACAUUGGACCGCUCCAGACCAUAGUUGCGAAGGUGAAGAGGUCAUUCCAGUCCGAGAUAUCACCUACGAUGGUGCCUGGUGACGCAAAGCAGUUGGAAUCGCUGCAAUAAUAACAUCACCAUCAGGAGUGAAAAUCAGAUACACUGCAAGACUGCAAUACUCAGAUCCAUCACAUAAGUGCACAAACAAUACCACAGAAUAUGAGGCACUAUUGCUUGGUCUACGCAAAGUUAAAGCAUUGAGGGCAACAAAUUUCUUGGUAAAAUUGGAUGCAAAAGUAAUCAAAGAGCAAAUCGAAAAAGAAUGCGAGGUCAGAGAGCCGGAAUUGAUAAAAUACUUAGCGAAGGUUAGGAGAAUGGAAAGGCAUUUUAGGGGAGAUUGAAGAUUAUCUUGACCCCCUAAGUGGGUUUUGGUGAAUUAAUGACACAAGCUUAAGUGUCUAAUGAACUUUAAAGUGCAUGAGCAGGUUUAAAAUGAUUGGUGGACAUGUAGGACUUGUGGAUGACCCUCAAAAAGGAAAUGAAUGAAUAUGAGGCAUACCUUGAAGGCUAAAUUUAUUUUUUGUUUGAAUUUUGAGUAUAGGAAUGCCGCACUAUUAAGAAGGAUACAUAAUCUUUGGUCAUUACGUUGAAAAAGGUGCUUAAGAUGACCUAAUCAACCUAUGAGAGAUAUCUUUGCACUGGCACUUCACUUGGGGAUACUUAGAAUGGUGCUGAUAUGAGAGCUCCAGAAUAUUCAGGAGGUUCCGGAGUUUUCGGAGAAAGUUCCAAAAAACUCCAGAACUUAACGUCCCAACGGCUAGUUUUGGGGCGAAGGGGUAUAAUUACCCCCUCACCCUCUCGCACAGUUAGGCUCUUGACCUAACUUCGUGCUGAGCUUCAGAAAAGCAUUCAAGUCCUCCUCUUUACUCUCCUUUAGCAUUCUUAGUGAGAUUUGGUGGAGAUUUAAGGAGGGAUUCAAGGGAAGGGCAAGAGAGUGUGCUAGUGAGCUGAUUUCCCAUCUCUUGAGCACCUUGUUCUUCAUCAAGCCGGUGAUUUUGUGUUGGUUACUCUUGGAGCUUCAAGCUCCUAGCCGGCUAGGCAUUGCCCAUGGAGCAUCCAAGGUUGUGGCUACCUACAUGAAGUUUGUAUUACCCCGAUGAUUGAGUAAGUGACUCUAUCUCAAUCUUUAUGGUCGCUAGAGUGAGGAAAGUGGCUUAGGUGAGAAAAGCUCACCCUUUGUGGGUUCCUCAAUGGAGACGUAGGCUUCAAGUGUGGAGCUGAACUUCGGUAGACAAAUCCUUGUGUCUCUUGUGCUUGUUGUUCUUCAUUCCGUUCAUAUUCAAGCAUGGAACAUAUUUCUAGGGUUUGUGCUCAAUCUACUUUUCUAGAAGGUUGCUUGCAGUUCUAUCUUGUCCCAGAGACUUAGAAUACCCUAUCGCUUAACCUAUAUUUGGCGAUUUACUUUUGGACAAGCAUUUCUUAGGGUUGUAGUUCACUCACAUUAUUCUCCGGAGAAUCCGCAGAUUUCUCCGAAAAUUCCGUAAGUUGCGGAAUUUCUGGAACAAUCUUUGAAAACUCCGAAUGUUGCUUAUAAACUUGUUCAAAGUUGUGUAAAAUUUUCAAGUUCGACUAUUCAACCCCCCCCCACCCCCACUCUAGUCGACAUCCUAGAUCCUUUCAGUUUCACUGUUGAGCAUUACCAAGAAAAGGGAAUGGUGAGGUUGAUGAUUUAGCAAAGAAAGCCUCCAAAAAUGAGCAAUUACCACCAUAUGUAUUCUUUGAAGUCAUUACAACUCCAUCGAUAAAACGAGACAAGCAACCAAUGAGUUUAGUAAAUGCAAUUAGCAGCAUGGAUUGGAGAUCCCCAAUCAUCGCUUACCUUCGCAGCAAGUAUGAACCAGUAGAGGAGCACAAACUCAAGCACAUGAAGCAAAGAGCGAGAGGCUACAUCAUGAAAGGGGAAUAUUUGUACAAGUUGGGAGUGAGUGCAUCGUUGCUAAAGUGCAUCUCACAAGAAGAGGGAAUCGAAUUGCUGAAAUAAAUCCACAGUGGAUACUGCGGAUGUCAUAUUGGGGUUAGAGCAUUAGUUGGAAAAGCUUUCAAGCAGGGAUUCUAUUAGCUAAUGGCAAUCAGAGAUGUUGAGCAAAUUGUCAGAAUGUGCAAGGCGUGCCAAUUUGCAACCAAACAUCAACGAGUACCGGGAUUACCUUUGCAGUUAAUCACUCCCACCUGGCCGUUACAGAGAUGGAGAAUGGAUAUAGUGGGUCCAUUGCCAACAGCUCAAGGAAAUUACAAAUAUGCAGCCGUAGCAGUCGAAUAUUUUACCAAAUGGAUUGAGGCAAGGCCUUUGACAACAAUCACCUUCGAAACCAUGAGAAAAUUUUUCUGGCAGCAAAUCAUAUGCAGGUUCGGAGUCCCAAGGGAAUUAACCAUCGAUAAUGGCAAGCAGUUUGAUUGCUAUGAGUUCAGGCAGUAUUGUGGGAUGAUUGGAACCAAGCUAAACUUCGCAUCAGUAUACCACCCAAGAUCCAACGGGGCUGUAGAAAGAGCAAACAGUGAGAUUUUCACCGCAAUCAAGAAAUGCCUUUUCGAUUAGAAAAAGGGAAAGUAGGCAAAAGAGUUGCCGAGGGUAGUUUGGUCUCACAACACAACCGAGUUCAAAAUAAUUAAGUUCACUCCAUUCAUAUUGCUCUACGAGGCUGAGGCAAUGUGCCUGGAGGCAAUAGCACACCAGAGUGCGAGGGUAAUAGCUGAGCAAAAUGAGGAAAAUGAGGCAAUAGACAAAUAUAUCAUUGAGAUUGAUAGGCUUGAGGCAGCCGAGAACUUAGAAAAAUAUCAAGAACAAACAAGAAAGUGGAGAGAUAAAAAGGUUGUCAGAAAAGACAUCAAAGUGGGAGAUUUCAUUCUUAAAAGAAAAAAGAGUGCAGAAACCGUAGGCAAAUUGCAAGUAGCUUGAGAAGGACCGUAUCUGGUUGUGAGCAGCGUCAGGCCAGGAGCUUAUCAUUUGGCCGAUGAAGAGGGGGAGGAGCUGCCACAUUCGUGGAAUGUGGACAACCUUUGCAAGUUCUAUCCUUGAGCAAAAAAUAGGUGCGGGGUCAGUUGCAUGGAGUUAUAAGCACAAUCAGGUCCUAAAAAUAGCAUAGUUUUACUUUAUUGCAAUUUAUUUUACCUCAAAAUGUAAGCGCAGGGUCGGUAGCAUGGAGUUAUAAACGCAAUCGGAUCCCUGGGCAGCGCAAUUUUACAUUCUUGCGAAUUUACAUUUCUACAAAAUGGGUCAUACUCUUUUCCUCACUAGGGGGGCUCCACAUCGGAGGUGAGGUUUUUAAUGAGGCGAUCCUGAUGUAAUCAUUUACAUUAUGAAGAAAAGAAAUUCCCCCUGAAACCGUGCUCGAGAAUGCGCAUGUGAUGCGAUAACUUUACUUUUAUGUCUAAGAACACAUUCGCAUGGGGUGUCAGAAAGAACACACCUGUGACGCGAUAACUUUACUUUUAUCUCUAAGAACACCUUCGCAUGGGGUGUCAAAAAGAACGCGCUUGUGACGCGAUAACUUCACUUUUAUGUCUGAGAACACCUUUGCAUGUGUGUCAGAAAGAACGCGCAUGUGACACGAUAACUUUACUUUUAUGUCUGAAAACACCUACGCAUAAGGUGUUAAAAGAAUGUGCCUGUGACGCACCUUAUCAUCUUUCUAUAAGAGAAAGAGAUAAGAAAACACCUUCGCACAAGGUGUGAAAAGAAUCCGCCUGUGAUGCACCCAAUCUUCUUUCUAUAAGAGAAAGAGAGAAAGAGAUAAGAAAACACGUUCGCACAAGGGGAUAAAAAAAUGCGCCUGUGACGCACCUUAUCGUCUUUCUAUAAGAUAAAGAGAUAAGAAAACACCUUUGCACAAGGUGUUAAAAGAAUGCACCUGUGACGCACCCAAUUUUCUUUCUAUAAGAGAAAGAGAUAAGAAAACACCUUCGCACAAGGUGAUAAAAUAAUGCGCUUGUGACACACCUUAUCGUCUUUCUAUAAGAGAAAGAGAUAAGAAAACACCGUCGCACAAGAUGUUAGAAGAAUGCACUUGUGACGUGUCUUAUCAUCUUUCUAUAAGAGAAAAAUUUAAGGAAGAGAUUCGGCAUGUGAAGGUGUCAGAGAAAGAUAUCAUGAUCAUCGAAAACAAACUAGGAAGUAAAAAAUAAGAAAUUAACGUCGAAAGCAACCUAAAGGUUGCCAAUUCGACACACACAAGAGUUGGACCUGCGAAGGUUUUCAGCUAAAUGAAUCCAUCUCAGGCCAUGUUCAAUUAUAAAAGCUUACAAAGAAACAGUUUCCUCUGCAUCUCUAUCACUUUCUGAAAGGGGGAAGACCUUUUUUGUAAAAAAAAUUCCGAAAGUGAUCGAGACUUGAGGAAAAUCAAAAGUUUACAAUUCAAAAGGGAAGUUCGACAACACAGCCUACACGAACAGAGGCUAUGCUAGGAUCAAAACCAUUAUAUAUAAAGCAAUAUUCUUCAUCCUUGGGGCACUCAUUUUCGAUCUUGACCUCCGCAGCAUACGAUUCAAAAUCUGAUGCUUGGGAUCGACUAACCCGUCCACCACCAGUAGAAUCAAGCAAGUGACAUAGUGCAUAGCUGCGCAAUGGAUAAUAGGAACAACAAAAAUGCUAAAAAUCUUCAAAGGACUUAUCCGGGAUACUUAGCAUGAUAAACCGUCCAAGAAUGGCUACUGACGCACAAGCCUUCUCGAUAGAAUGUUCUGGGAACAACAUCACGCACAGUUUCAUCACAUGGAACCUGCGCCACAAUUGAUAUUUACAACAAAAUGAGUAAUAGUUUUUCCACUUAACAAACAUUAUUUACACCUUCGGCUCCUAUUCAAUACUUGGCAGAUCUUGAGGUUGUGCAUCAUGCGGCAAUGAUUCUUGGGGCUGGGAAACCCGAGGAUCUUCAGGCACGGAUGAUGUAGAGGGUUUUAUAGUUUCAAGAGCAGUAGACGCCAAGGGCGCCAUCUCUGCAGACUGACAGUUGGGCUUUGGGGCCGGCCAUUGACAUGGAGGAGCAUAUGAGCCUUGAGUGGCAGAAUCCCAAUGAAGAGCUUGAAGCUUGCAAAUCUCCAUUGUCUGUUUUUCCUGGCCAAGAUAGAACUAUGAGGUAGUAACCUCAUAGCAUCAAAAAGUAUUUCAAAAGCAUUCUCAAGAUUGCAAAAAAUAAAAGACUAAAGGAGAAAACUACCUAUGCGAGACGGUCGGCAGCCUUUCUACGGACACCUUCGCGGCCGCUUUUAAUCUAGAACUCCCUCAGAAAUAACUUUGACACGGCAUCGACAUUACGACUAGGGGCUAGAAUUUCAGAGUGAUCUGGAAACUUGAAACCGCAUGAUCCAAAUUUUUUGAAGUGAUUGCAUCCUUCACCUUCAAGAAUUUGAAGCAAGGACUCAGCAGUUGUACCCACGCCAUAAUCACCAACCUUGGAUAAGAUCUCAGGCAAGAAUUUUAACUCAUCCGACAGCCAUUGGAAGAGUGUUCCUGUGUUCCUAGACCCAGGAAAAGGCUGUGGCUCAGUGCCAAACAGGUUAAGAGCACCGCGAUAUUGGUGAUUUAUGUGAAGGCCCCAUUGCUAAUUUUUUUGUUCAUUUUCUUCAAGAAUUUUCUCUUGAGACGCAUUAACUUGCCUUAAUUUAGAAAUUAUCUUAUCCUUAGUCACCAAAUCCCUAGCUUGCGUGAUCGCAGUCAUCUUGAUAUUUACAAGCUCCUUGCGAACCCUGUGAAAGCACUCUGCAUCUUUCUCAAUCGUCACGCGAAGGUUAUCGAGAGCUAUCUCUUGUUGCUCAUUACGCAAGGUCAAAGACUUAACCUCAGCAUAGAGGUCUUUAUUGUUCGCUUCCAUUUGAGCAAUUUGAUCCUUUAGCCUCUGUACCUCGGCAGCGAGAUCUGCUUGCUCAAUGCGUAGGUCUUCCAUCUCGUUGAAAACAUUUUCACAACCAAGUUUUCCAGCAAUCAUCCCUUUCAUUGUGAACGUCGUCAUCAAUGAGCAAAGCUCAAGUCCAUUGAGACCAUCGAUUCAUGACUCAAAGGCUGCCAAAAAGAAUACAUUAGGAUUUUCUCUACAAGCGAAACAAAAAAAUAAAUAAUAAAAACGUCAUUAGCAAAGGUGUUAACCUUUCGAAUCGAAAAAUUGAUAUUGCGGAAUUUCAGUGUUAGCCUCACCAAAGUUAACAUCUGCGCCUUUGAAGGAAUCCCCUUUUUCAACAUUUGUUUCAAAUGACGUCAUGUCUCUAACCAAUCUCAGUUCAUCUGAGUCAAGUUGACUCAAGGAAAGCAACGCACGAGCAGCAGUUUCACCAUCUGCGCAAGCCAGGCAAUUUAAUAGCAGGACAAAUUGAAUACAAAACAAAAACACAAAGUAACAUUGGAGACAAGUCAAAGGUAACCUUUAGGGGGAGAGCAAAUCCCUUUACCCUUUACAUAUGAGGGAAUCUCAAGAACCUUAGGAAAGGAGAAAUCCUCAUCAGUCUUGGACGUAAGAGAAUUCCUUUCGUCAGCAAUCUCAGGGGGCAAGGUCUCAUUGUCUUUGCUUUCUUGAGAAUUUAGCACAGGAGACAAAUUAAGAGGCAAUUUAUUAGAUGAGCCAUCAACAUGCUUGGCCCCGCAUGACUCGGGCGUCAAUACUUUGCUAAAAACAGCUGUGUCUUUGUCACAGUCAAUUGGAUCCUCAUCUAAAUAAAUCACGCUUUCAUCUUGAUCCAAAAUGUCAAUCAUCCUAGCAAAGGCAGUAGCGGAGGUGCUAGGCAUUUCGGCCUCAAAAUUGAAAUGCAUGUCCUCCAUACGCUGAUAGUAUUCAGCAACCGAGCCUCAAUGUUGAUCAAUUUCACAUUCAAGAGCAUCAGUUCCACCAAACUAUCAUGAGGAGCAUCCGCAGGCUCGGGUGUGGGGGUCGCCUUAGCUCCCGGUGCAACUCCGCGUUCAAUCUCAUGAUGCUUAGAAGCAACACUUUGAGUUUCAAGCACUUGGAGUGAAGGCGAGCCCUCAACACUUGGCGGUGCGCUGGGAAUUAUCUUACGUUGUUUAAUAGCGGCACCAGCAGUUUCAAUUUCUCUUUUACGUUUCUACAGUGCCGUUACAACUUUCAUGGAUUCAGAAACAUCUAAUGACCCAGCAACGACCAGUUUUUUCUUCUUGGAAAGCCUUUUCUUCUUGACCUUGGGAAUCUGAGAGCCAACGUUUCCCGGCAAAACUAUUUUCUUCGCAGGCCUACCAGGACGCAGGUGCGGGCUGUAAGAAAUUUUCAUCUCGUCAAACACCUGAUUGAUUCAUCCACCGUGUUUCAAAGCUAUCAUCGCAGUCUCGUGUUCCUUCAAUGAAUAGUUACCAAUCAGAAGAACAGCCUGCCUCUCAAUUUCAGCCAUGAACUCUGCAUCUGAUACCCCAUCUGGCUUUUUAACACCAAAUUUUGGAAAUUUAAUCUCUAGGUCUGUGUCGGGGAUCCUUUUGUUAACAAAACUAGUUGGUUUCCAACCAUAGCGCGAGGGCCAGAUGCCAGCAGCCAAAAACUCUUCAAUGGCAUCUCGACUAGAAACAACUUGACUGACUUGGAAAUAAGCAGAUGUCCCUGGUGAAGAGCGGCUUCGACGGCUAAGAGUGGGCGCGAAUUCCAGUUCCAUAUCCUCAAUUCUUGCAGGCUAAAGGGUACUCCAAAAUUUCCUUACCCUCAAAAUUUUUUCCAGCAACAACAGGAAUGGUUGCAUAGAACCAAUACGAAUCCCACUUCUUUGACCACUUAUUUUUCUGGCCUGGGGCGAGGGCAACUGGCAUUAUGUUUCGACCCAACCACCACGUUCGGAAAGUGCAGCAUCCAUACUGCACCUCGAAUUCUUCUUCACCAAUAAUAAUAUGCUUCUUUUGGAGAUGCAAUUCAAAAUGGCGGGAGAAAGACUCUGCAUCUAUUUCACCUCUAAAAGAACGACUACACCAAAAAUAGUUUAGGAGCCGGGGGAUAGAAUUUGGGGUUAGCUGAUGAAUUCGGACCUUGUAUGCAACAAGAACAUCUACGAAAGUUUUUUCCAAUGGAAAUCUUAGCCCAGCCACGAAGAAAUCUCAAAAGACCACACACUCAUUAGGCUGUGGAACAGGAAUAUCCUCGUCCCUAGGGGGCUGGCAAUCUCCAGUGUUGAAAUAUCCCUUCUUGACAUAGAAGUCAAUGUCAUUCUGACUAACCAAAGAACAGCCAAAAAAGCAACUGGUGGGAGUUUCCGCAACCAGAUGUUUCACAUUAGCAUCCACAUCUUCAAGAUCAUCACCUCCUUCUUCUCCUUCUCCUUCUCCUUCUUCUCCUUCUUCUUCUUCUUCUUCUUCUUCUUCUUCUUCUUCUUCUUCUUCUUCUUCUUCUUCUCCUACACCCUCAGCAGUAUCACCAUCAUCAAAAUUGCUAGAUCUAUCCUCAUUAGAUCCCCCCUUAGAUGAACUGUUAGCUUCGCGGGCAUGUUGAGUGCCGCCCAGGUCUUCAUCUCCCACGUGAGGUGGUUCAAUAUCAGGAUGCACCGGAUUGUUGACCUGGAUAUCAUGAGCAAUCAGAUUCACCGGAUCGGCAGCAGGGUUUCCUUGAGCGUUGGGAUCCAUUAGAUUGGCAGCAGCCAGCUCCUCCUCAGUCAUCAAUCUAGCAGUACUUUUAACGCAUGCCACUUUAUCUAUCAAAAAAACAAAUUUGUAUAACAUUCAAUUCAUACCAAGUGCAGUGCUAACUUAAAGAAAGAAAAUCACCUUUGCUAGAUCAACAAAGGAUGAAUCGAAAGGGAUGCACGAAUCUCAAAGCACGAAAUCAGAAAGCAGCGACGGCACUUGUCAAAGCGAGGGUGCAGAAAAGUUACCACACCCCCCAAUGGUAACCGUGCUCAACAGUAAAAAAGCAAGGGCAAAAUAGUCAUUUAACUACCUUCGCAGAGAGAUCCAAUCCAGCGAGCAGGGAGACGUUUUUCAAUCCUUGAUCGAGAUCAAAUGAUAUUUCGAGGGUUCAGCCCGCUGGAGUGGACCUCGCCCCCGAGGGGCUACUAUUGGGGAUAUGGAUUUGGAUUGUUAACAUCACCCUCGCACGCCGCUUUAGAGAAUUGGAUCAUCACAAUGAUAAUCAAAAUGAUGUUCACCUUCGCUCAAAGCUAACACCCUCGUUUCCUUUUAUUACCUUCAUCACCUCGCCUGCGAGGGUGCGGCAAAAUUAUUUUGAUCGUGUAUGCAGGUUUUCGCACUGGAGGGCACGAAGCGAAGGUAUUCGGCAAACUUGGCAGAGCGAGGCGAAGGUUGUGAGCACAUUCGAUGUCCGAAAUCCAAGGCCCAUUCAAGAUCAUUUGGGCGAAGGUGUGAAGGAUUAGGGUCACGUUGUGAACGUGACCCCGGUGGCAUGAAUAGCGUGACUCGGUUAGGGUGUACAAAUCGGAUUAGGACUCUUUCUUUACCAAAAUGUACAGCAUAUUCUUAGAAUGUAGUGGUUGAGUGAGGGUAAAUUCGGUAUGUAAAAGUCGUUGGCCUCCCUAUAAAAAAGGAGGCACCACCACAGGUUCAUAUUUUUAAGAAAUACAAGCCUUAAGAGUUUUGUUUUCCAUUUGUGUGUGCUUUCUUUAAGUGUUCGAACCAGCUAAAAUUCAUAUUCCUAAGUAAAUUCCCUCCAUCAACUCCAACCACUAAUUCUCAUGCUUCUUUCUGUUAGUUGCCAAACACACCACACGGUCUACUAUAAGAAACUUUGACUAGAAAUUUCUAAUAAAAAUAUUAUAUGUUAGAAUAUAUCUACUACUAACAUCAAUCUCACGUUGUCAAUAUAUUUAAUUUUUAUAUAUUGAUUACCAAAGCUAAAAAUGUUUAACAAACAAAAAAUGGGAAUAAUUUUGGAAUUCCAAAUAUCUUUGUGAUAGGUGGGAAUAUCGUAUACUACCUCCGAUUGGAUAUUUUAUUUAAGUCUUAGACAAGUCGAUUCAGCCACCCACCUUUCGCCCAUAAAUUGAAUUAUCACCCACUUUUCACCCAUGAAUUGAAUUAUCUCAUUUGUUGUAGGGUUGUCCUUCCAUACUUUCUUUUUAUUGUUGACAAAGCUAGUCGGUUGCCAGUAAGUCGGCCCGUGUUCAAUCACGGCCAGGGUGGGUGGGUGCUCACCUCUUAGAAACAAUUCAGGAAAAGCUUUGCGACUUAUUAAAUAAAGCUAAAAUACUCCCGUCAUCUCUCCCAAAUGAGUUUAGAGAGAGGGGUGUCAGCGGUAGGGCUGCCGGCGGUGGUGGUGGUGGCAAUGAGACUCCUCUACAAUACUUCUGCUGGAAUCGCUAACGUGUGGAGAGAGGUACUGCAGGGGAUCUGCUUCCAGUGGUGGGCAGUAGGAUAAUAACAUAAGCAUUAAGUGUGCACAUUUUACACGAAAAUAUUAGAGGCACCAUAGACAUCUUGUCUACCCCCAUAAUCAUUGUGCUAAACUCUAAAACUACGACUGAAUAUAUUUGUUGUUGUGGGAAUAUUUUAUAGGAUAACCAACUCGAAAUGGAUUAUUCACUCACACGAGAAAGGAGACACUGCCUACAAUGAAAUGUUUGGAUGCAACAUCGAGUUCCUAGUUACAGUUCACAAUAUUACAUCCCCUCAUUCAUCUUCCUCGGAAGGUAUGUCCCUCGAGCCAUUUCAUCUCCUCCAUCUUCAGAGCCAGAAGAGUGUUUAGAUGGUGAUUUUGCAGGGAAACGCAGGUAUCCAGUUCAGUCAACCAAAUGCUCCACUCACAUCAGUAUGCUUCAGAGUAGAGUUUGCUCCUGCAAAACCAUCACCACAUCAAAUGGGACACCUCAAACAACGCAAGAGCGCAGUAAUUCAGCCAGUCAGUGGGAAAUGUUAUUGCAUUGAUUUUUUCUGAACAAAAUAAUACAGGAAUCAUGAAACCAACACCAAGUAGCUGAAAAAGGUACAGAUGCUGAAAAUAGGUAGCAUGACUAACCGAUCACGCAUGCCAGGACUUUGCACUACCACAUAUGUACACCUGCAAAAGAUACAGACACCUAGCUGAUAGGAGCACGAAAGCCACGGGUUAGUAUCAUUCAGUUAACCAAUCACAUCAGUGUUUAGGACGGAAGCGGCAACAGCACCACAUGAGCAUAUCACAUACGCUUGUAAUGUCGUUACGCAAUGGAACGCAGAGCAGUGGCGGAGCAUGCAGAGAAACUGAGAGGGGGCCAAUAACAGAGGAGAUUAGUAUACAUAGAGUGUUUAAGUAGUUAAAUUAGCUGUUCCUUUAAGAAAUUUAGGAGGUUAGGGGGGGCAUGGCCCACCUUGGCCACAAUGAAGCUCUGCCAGUGACGCAGAGGAUGCAUCUCCUAUGUCAAGAGGGAAUGAGCAGCGCAGGGCUCCCACAACGGCACCAACAGGGAUUAUUGGCUUGGUGGUCACACCGAUCAGGGUGCCUCUUCAGCCCCUCCUGCGCUUGGUUAUCAUCUCCAUUUGUCCGUACAGGUAGAGAACCUCCUUCAUCGUCGCCUUCCGGCCUUUCCUGAAGUUCCAGAACACAGGCACCACGUGCCGCUCACUGGGGUUGUACUCGUUUAUCUCCAUCAGCGCAGUCUUCACCGCAUUGCACACAUCAUCGCCGUACUCAAACCGCAGGAGCUUCAGUUUUGCAUCAUCUUCGUCUAAAACUUCCUGCAACAAACGAGGAUUGGUUAUGAUUUCUGGACAAAUACUAACCUCUAUAAACGACAAAGAUAUAUAAUACCUUAGCUGGAUAGAAAAAAACAGCAAAUACCUUAUGCUCUCCAUUAACCUGAACAGCCACAAAAGGAUGCCAGGAUGGCUUCUUCAGUUCACCCUGCCAACUUUCAACCAGCUUUGCAGCUUUGGUCUGGUAAUCGACGUUUCCAUAUUUUCUCUUACAUGCAUUUUGAAAUGGCUUCUCGUCAAGUUCUCCCAUUCUUUUGGUCCCAAUAGCUGGCCGGCCAUUUAACUCGUCCUCCAAACCCUGAGCAUCACGAUGCUCACAACAAUCAUUUCAUCAAUGGAAAACAUCUUAUGAACAUCAACUGAUGGAGAACACGUUAGGUGCAUGGUAAUUGCUAAACAUACAACACAUAUAAAAUAAAAUAAUGGAGCAGUACCAUAGUAAGCUCUUUUCGGGCUUGCAGUAGCUCAUCGUUACUUUGACGCUCUUUGCUCACAAGAGUUCCGUUCAAAUCUUCCAGGUCGUCAUUCUUGUCUUCCAGCUCCCCAAUCCACUUCGUUAGCCUGUCAUUCUUUGCUUGCAGCUUCUCAUUACUCUCCGUCAGGCCCUCAUUCUUGACUUGCAGACCCUCAUUCCGCUUUGUUAGGCCAGCAUUCUCGGCAUGCAGUUCCCCAUUCCGCUUCCUCAUCCUAUCAUUAUUGGCUUGCACCUCCUCAUUCUGCUUCACCAAGUCGACAUCCUUGGCCUUCAGCUCCUCAUUCUGCUUUGUCAGGCUGCCAUUCUUUGCUAGCAGCUCCUCAUUCCACUUCGUUAGGCCGCCAUUCUUGAUUUGCAGCUCCAAAUUCUGCUUGCUAAUACCAUCUAUAUUGGAUCUCAGCUCCUCAUUCUCCUUCACCAGGACAUCAUUCUUGGCUUGCAGGUCCUUAUUCUGCUUCAUCAUGCCAUCAUUCUUGGCCUGCAGAUCCUCAUCCUGCUUUCUCAUUCCCUCAUUCUGCUUUCUCAAGCACUGCAUCUCUUUCGCCUUCUGAGCCAGCUCAACUCUCAGCUUCUGAUUCGCCUCACAGUAUCCAAGCUCUUUCACAUCCACAUCUAGUUGAGCCCUCAGGUCUUCGACCUCCAUUAAAAUCCUCUGAGAAUCCUCGCACGCUACCUUUGAAUGCUCUGCCCAUGGGUGAAAAAAAUUAAAACCAUGGUAUGAAGAAAAGAGUGAAAGAUUGAAGCAUGUUUUCAGUAACACAUACCUCCAUUGCCAACCAGACUCGUCAAAUCUUUGGACAUAACUGCUGCAUUCCUCUUCCUGCUUCCAGAUUCUGCCCCAAGAUUCUGACCUGCUGCCACCGAAAAACAAAGAACGCUUCAGCAAGUGUAAGCAAGAUAGCCUGCGACAGGUAAAGCAAUGCGAGUAUACAUCACAAAAUGUUCCUGCCAACCUGUGGAUAUUACACAUCACAGUUGAACACACAAAAAUAGUUAAAGGAACGAGGAAACGAGAUAACUGAACACAAUGAUUUUUUUCCCAAAAAUCUAAGCAAUAAGAUGUGUCGACAAAACUGAUGAUCCAAGUAAUUUAGAGUUGACAUAUGGUGGCAGCCUUCAGAAACUUUGCACUCUUGAUUGACUAAAUGUCAUAGUUGAUUUCACUUUACAUUUGCCUUAAUUCAAGUGCAGUUAUUCGUAAGAAACUGUUUCGCGUCAAUAUACCUAUGCCUACAAGUUCCCACGACUCAGAUAGUCAGAUUGAUGCGCUUGGGGACCAAAAGGCUUGUGCCUCCAAUCGAAAGAGUAUGCGACCCUCAUCCAAAGGUCGCAACUUUGUGGGGAAAUGAAACGAACGAUUAGUAACCUGGUAUCGAAAUGCAUCAUAGAUCAGACUUGGUAUCGAGAGGUAGUAGAUAAACUAAACUGCAGGGGAGUAGUACUAGCAGAUCCCUCAAGGCAGGCUCCCUCGUAAACCAAAAAGAAAAACAAAAAAAAGAAAAAAGAACAAGAAGAAAAUGCGAUGAGGUAAAAGAAAAGGCAAACCGUGGCUUCUCUUACCACCACCAGCAGCACUUCGAUCAACGCCACGGUUCAUGGGUGGCCCGCCGGAUUCUCCAGUCUCGUCCCCUCCGCCGGCGGGGGCCAUGGCUACGGCGGCGGAGGAAGAGUGCUACGGCGGCGGAGGAAGAGGGCACUGAUGAAGAGUGAGGGGGCUUUUAUUGUCUUUCUUGCCUCCUGUCCUCCCGCAACCACAAUAACACUCUUAAAAGGGAAAAAUAUAUAUAUUAUUAUUAUUAUUUCAGUUGCCUACUAUAGUUAUUGUGUCAUCAAUCUAAAACAACUUACUGAAUAUAUUUGUGAUCGUGGCCUCGUGGGAACAUUUUCUAGGAUAACCAAUUUAAAAUGGAUUAUUUACUCAUAUGAGUGCACUAAUUCAGCCAGUCAGUGGGAAAUGCUGUUUGCAUAGAUUUUUCUGAACAAAUGAAUGUAAGUAUCAUCAAACCAACACCAAGUACCUAAAUUACGGUACAAAUGCUGAAAAUAUGCAGCAUGAUUAACCGAUUACGCAUGAAAGGUCAGAUGAUAGCACACAAGAUAAAGGCCAAGCAGGCUAUCACUUGCACUACUGCAUAUGUACACCUGCACAAUAUACAGACACCUAAGUAGGGCACGAAAGCCACGGGUUGGUAUUAUUCAGUUCACCGAUCACAUCAGUUUUUAGGGCCUGAAGCGGCAACAGCACAACCACAUGCUUCCACACAUCACAUACGCUUGUAAUGUCGUUACGCAAUGGAACAUUAACACAGAGGAUACAUCUCCUAUGUCAGGAGGGGAUCGAGCAGCACAGGGCCCCCACAAUGGCACCAAUGGCGCGCAUGCACGACUACUUAUUGGCUUUGCAGUCAGGCGGCCUAGGGCACCUCAUCAGCCCCUCCUGCGCUUGGUUGUCGUCUCCAUCUGCCCGAAAAGGUACUUGAGCACCUCCUUCGUCGUCGCCUUCCGGCCUUUCCUGAAGUUCCACAGCUCGGGCACAACAUACCGACCACUGGGGUUGUAUUCAUUUAUCUCCAUCAGCGCGGUCUUCACCGCAUUGCACACGUCAUCACCAUACUCAAUCCACAGGAACUUCAGUUUUGCAUCAUCAUCAUCUAGAACUUCCUGCAAUGAACAAGGACGAGGACAACUAUUAGUUCCAAUACUAGCCUCUAUAAAGAUAACACAACAGUCAGAUAGAACACGGUAAAUACCUUAUCUUCUCCAUUAACCUGAACAACCUUAAAAGGAUGCCAGGAUGGCUUCUUCAGUUCCUCCUGCCAAUUUGUGAUCAACUCUGCUGCUUUGACCUGGUAAUCAUCGUUUCCAAAUUUCCUCCUACAUGCAUUUUGAAAUGGUUUUUCAUCAAGUUCUCCCAUUCUUUUUAUCCCAAUAGCUGCCCGCCCAUUUAGCUCAUCCUCCAAGCCCUGAUCAUUGUGAUAACCAUUUGAUCAGUGAGAAAAAACCUUAUGAGCAUCAACUGAUAGAGAACACAUCAGGUGCAUUUUAAUUGCUAAACAUAUAGUACAUAGAAAAAGAGCGGUACCAUAAUCAAUUCUUUCCGGGCUUGUUGUAGCUCGUCGUUACUUUCACGCUCUUUCCUCACAAGAUCUCCACUCAAAUCUUCCAGCCGUUUCUUCUCACGCUCUAAUCUUUCACUCAGCUUCUCCAUCUUCUCAUGAAUAUCACCAUCAUCAUCUCCCUCCAAAUGUUUCAUUACUUGGAGUGUACCAUUCAACCGUGCAACUUCGAGCUCAAGUUGCUGCUUCUCAUGCAGUUCCUUUUCCAGUUGGAGCAUCCUUGCGAAUACAUCUUCCUUUUCCCUCUGAUGUUAUUAAAAUGUAUUAAUUCUCAUCACCAGAACCUACAGUGACCAUCUAGAAAGCAACAUAUAAGUAAGAAAGGGGCAAACCUUCUGGUCAUCCAAUAGCUUCAGAACAUCGAAGUCAGCCCUCUGCUGCUCUAUACUGGCUAACUCAAGUUCACUAUUAUCAUCUUUCGCCUGCACAAUUUCAAAAGAAACUUUAAGUAAUUAUAUAAGAUAUUGCUGUAUGCAAUCAUGCUAUCAUACCAAUAUGCUCUAACUGUCAUCAUUAGUUUAUGAGCCUAGCAAGCUUUGGUGCAUGCACUUAGGAUGUAGAAAGAGAACCGGUAUUCUGUGAAUGUCAUAGAACUUAGAUGAUAAAAUACUUCAUAACAAUACAUCCCUUGUCAAAGUGAAAGUACUGAUGAUAUAUAAUUUUAAACAACCUGUACAAGUUUGAAAUGGAAAUAUAAAACAGCAACAGUAAAUCCUUGUUUUCAAAGUAAUCUCAAUCACUUAACCAAAAGAAUGGUUGCCACCCUGUUAGUCCAGAUUAGUGCACCAUAAGCAUGAUAUUUCAGCAGAGCUUACAUGAGCAUAGCCUAGUGCUUCAUUCGUAUAGUUGUUUUGCUUACCUUCUGCUUCUCAUCAUCGAGUGUCUUCCAGUCGUUAGCAUUCUCAGCUGACAGCUUUUCAAGUUGCUUAGCUCGUGAAUUCAGUUCUCUCCUCUUAUUUUCUAAUUCUUGCCUCAAGUUGUCAUUUUCUUGGAAAAUUCGCAGAGCAUUUUCACGAGCCCUGCGAUGAAGAUUUCGCAUUUCUGAAAAAGAGGAUACAAAAUUAUGGAUGAGUUAAUUUAUAAAAGAGAAAAAUUGCUUUGUUAAAUUUGUAAAGCAAAGAAAUUAAAGCUAAGUAAUCAAAGUUAACAAUUGGAGGAGGUUUGUUCAUACGUGUAAGCAUUGUUCAUCUCAUCAGGUAAUUCGUAGUUUUACAGAUAAAUAUAAUGUUAAAAAAGGAAUCGAGUAAUUUCAUGCAGAAUGGCAUUACUAUCAGAAAAACCCUGCAUUCAUCUAACCAACCCACAACAUCAUUUCUCUAUGUAACCCAUGUCCAAUAUAAGACUAUUACAAAACUAACUUCAGGACUUACAUGCAAAAUAUCUAAUAAUAUGCAAUGGUACAAGAUAGAAUUAACAUCUGAGAUCUGCUCUGUUACAAAUAAGUUUCUGUUUCACAGCCAUGACUAGAAAUGUCACCAUCUAAACCAUCAAGUAGAGCCGAAAGAAAGGAAGCAAAAUUGUACAGAUUACCUUCAUUGUACGCCUCGUGUAGCUUCCUGUUGUCCUCCUCAAGCCGUGAGAUCGAGAGUUCUGUUGCAUUCUUCUUUGUCUCCAAAUCCUGCAAGUAUCGGUUCUUUUCCUCUAUCUGAGAUGCCAGUCUUGCAACCAUCUCCCCUGACUUCUCUAACUCAGUUUUGGAGACCUCAUCUAUUGUUUUCAGGAUGGUACGCUUCCUCAAGAACCUUCCCACCACAGUCCCUCCAUUGUAAUCCCCCUCUCGGGCAACCCACCCAUAAACCUUUACCUCACCUUCGCCACCCUCCCCCUCUGCAGCACCUAGACCACUAUUCCUAGUCUCAAAUUCCUUCUUCCCCAGCUUAUUCACACUAAAAUGGUUCUCUAGCGUAAGCGCAUCAUUAAAUCCACUCCAAUCAUUGGUAAACCUCACGAUUGCAAAGGUUUCCAUGCCUUCUAUCUCAUCGAUAAACAAAGGCACAACCUCAACAAAACUAAACAUGGCUACUCUACCAGCAAACUCCUCAGCAUUGAACCCUGCACCGGCUGCAAGAACACAAGCCCAUGGCCAAGCAUACCUCUCAACCUCCCGUGGCGGCCCCACGUUCUCCGCCGGCGCAGAACUGGAUCCCGUAGGACCAACAUUGGCUUUCGCCUCCGCGGUGGCACUUCCACUGCCAUUGGCGUUAGCAGGGGCGGGCUUAAUGGCACCGAGGAUGCCAGUGAUACCGACAAGGUCUUCCGCGAAGGACGGAUCGGUGCGGACAAAGCGGGCGAAGGCGCGGUGAGACGCGCGCUCGCGGCCGUGGCGGCAGUGCUUGCUGGAGACGCCGAUGCCGUCGGCGUGCUGGAGGAGGUCCUUGAUCUUGUACCCCUGCUUCUUCUUGCCGGGGCAGAAGGGGCAGCGGAAGGUGCCGUCCGGGUUGCGCACCCGGUGCUUGCCGGAUGUGAGGAGGCGGAAGGAUUGCUCCUCGUAGUCGCUCUCCGCGUCCGAGUCGUCCUCGGAGUCGUCGUCGGAGUCCUCGGAUUUGGGGUCCGCUAAUCCGGCGGCCUCCGCGGCGGCCUCGGCCUCGGCCUCCUCGUAGGGGUCGAUGUAGUCGUCCAUGUCAAGAUCCAUCCCCGGAGCUCAGGGAUUCAACAGAGACGAUUCCUGAACGCAAAUACAGCGGUUAUUGAUCGAAAUUUUACAGGAACGACGCGAUUUUUCUCCCCAAAUGUUCUUCGAUCCAAACAUACUACGAAAGAGGAACCGAAAGGACUCACCUUCCCCCGAACUGGAGCACGAUCGCUCCAAAUGGCAGCGAAACUGGAUGAAAUUGGGGGGAGAAACCCCCGCCCUAUAUAAAGCCCGGGCGAAAUCGCGUUCUCACGCACCACGAUUGAACGCAACGACGCCGCCCUCGCUGGAUUUAUGGUGGCAUGGCGGAAAUCGGCGAGAAAGGCAACAGCUUUACUGGGCAAGGAUUAACACCUGCAUUCCAUUCCAGUCCUGGGGUUUUGGGGGCGGCGCACGGGAGAGAUGCCACUGGUACGGGGUGGGACGAUGAUAUGUGGGGUCCAUUUCAGCCCGUCGACGGUGGCCGGGACCACGUGUCAGGGACUCUGACACUUUGACUCCUUUGGGAAGCGUUACGUGGGCCCGAGUUCAUCCGGCUCAUUAACUUUAGGUCAUCUCAAGAUGUUUUUCCUUUUUUUUCUCGUUUCACUGUUGAAAUCCCACCCACCUCCAUCUAAAGGAAAUAUUGAAAUUUCUAGGAAAAUAGUUAAUUUGGUUAAUGCAUUAAUGAUGGAAUAAAAAGUUUCCCCUUUUUUCAUAGAGCGUAUAAUUCGUUGACAGAAGAGUUUGAUACUAAGAUUUGGAGAAAAUUUACAGCAGAGGUACAGCAAAAGAUUUCAUUUGAUCUUCCCAUUUAACAUAUGGUUAAAAGGCAACGCAUGUAGAUUUUCUCCCUUCUCUAGUUGGAUGGAAUUCACGCUUAUAGCGUAAAGAGUAAUAGUUAAAUAGGCUUGUAAACAAACUAGGUGUCAUUUGGUAAAUUUAAUAAAAAAAACAGCACACUGCACAUACCCUACUGGCACGAGUAAAUAAUCUUUCUGUAUAUAUGCAUGACACAGGUAAUAAGUAAAUAAGCUUGUAUACAAAGAUAGUAAUAGUUAAACAAGAUUCUAUAGGAACCAACUGUCAUGUCUAUAUUAUACUAUUAUUAUUUUGUACAUGACAAAAGGUAAUAAUUAAAUAAGACUGUCUAUAAACCAACUGUCAAUUCCUAAGUAUAUAUGCUACUAUUACUCGGUACAUGAAAAAGAGUAAUAACUAAAUACAAUUGUAUCAAACCAACUGUCAUAUCUCUGUAUGAUACAAGGUAAAUCAAAUACAAACCAAUUAUUAAUUCAUACAUAUUAUUAUUACUCUGGACAACAUAAAAGGCAAUAUUAAAUAAAAUUGUUUACUACACAACUGUCAUUUCAAAAUAUUGCUAUUAUUCUUUACAAGAUAAAAAGGUAACGGUUAAUUCAGCUUAAUGCAUACCAAUCGUAAUUUCUUCAGUAAAUUCAAAUUAAAAUCAGCACAAACAUAUAAAUAAUCCAUGUUUUAAGUGCAUAGGUUGGUGCUUGAAUCUAGAUCGAUGAAAAGAAAUGAUCUUAACAAUUUUGCAAGCAAAAUUAAAAAUAGAAAGAAAUUCAGUGGUUUUUCUUACUCUUAUAUCCUUUCCCACAAGUUGGUUCAUCUUGAACGGUUGUUGCGGCAUCUUCCACUCCAUGAUCCUUCAAUGAGAUUAUCAUUAUGGCACCCAUGAACUAGACUCGAGUCAACAAUGUCUCAAGGAUUAGAGAGAACCUUGGGGAUUCCAUGGACGUUGGGGUGGCAACUGUGGUGGAGCAGUGACACAAGGAAUGGUUAGCUACAGAUCUAUCUAGCAUGUCUUAUCGACUUAUCGUCGAAGAGCGGUGCAGGGCAGUAUGCUGGUUCGUCAUAGAUAGCAAAGGUCCAUUGUCGCAAUAAGUAAGGCAAAAGGAAGAGGGAGAGGUGUGCGGCCAUGUCAGGUUGAGGACAAUAGGCAUGGCGAUGAUUAAAAAAAAGGGGGUGGCAGUAUGUGGAAUGCUACAAGAGGAGGGUGCUCUAUCCGCCAGAGAAGCAUGGUUGGUUCUACGCAAAUGAUAGGAAGGGGCGGCGGUGUGUGGGAGCAUUGUAGUGGCCCGACCAAGAUGAAGGAGAAAGCGCGGUCUGCAGUCAUGUUGGGGUUGAGGACGAUAGGCAUGGCGAUGAUAAAAAGGAGCGGCGGGCGGCGGCGCAUGGGACGGUACAAGAGGAGCGUACUCGAGCUCUUAGGGUUUUGAUUGUUGCAAUAUCUACAACAGUCGGGGCAUAAAUCAAGGGUCAAGAUCCUUGAUUUAGAUAUAGAAAGAAUGAAAAUACCCUCAACCGACAUCCGACGCUACAGAACCAUCGAACGGUUCACAUUGCUGCCAUUUUGCACUGCAACAUAUGGCCCCGUAACACAUGAGAAGAAUGGGUAUUGAGUCGGAUGGUUGGGAAAUACUCAAGGAUUGAAAUGUGGGAGCAAGAUUGUCAAGAGAAAUUACAAAUCACCAAUUUUCGAAUUUCUUAUCGAGUCAAAAUUGUUAGUUCGUUCGGACGGCGUUCGGACGGUUCUCGGGUACAUGUAGUAGAACAGAGGAUUUAUCCCAAUUCCCAUGGUACAUUAUCAAAUUUUGCAGAUCAGAACCGGAAAAGGAGUCAGUUGUCUGCUCGAGUCAUCUUCCUUAGGCAAAAGAGAGUACAACAUUUUUGUGAUUGGUUUUACGAAGAGAGGCUUUAUGGCAUGCCGGAUCCUUGCUCUCUUGGUCUUUUUUUUCUUGCACCAGGCUUACUCUACCUUAGUCCCUGGGCUAAACUUUAAGCCAUGCUAAAGUUUAGCCCCCUUAAAUGGAGGGUUAAAGUUUAGCCCCCUUGGGCUGUUUGAAAAUUAGGCUAAACUUUAGCACCUAGGUUUACAAAAGACUCAUUUACCCCCACUUCCUUCCUUCCUCCUAUCUCUUCUUCUCUCUCUUCCCCUUCUCUCGCUCUUCUCCCCACCUCCCCCAGCCGCGCCAGCCUCCUCGCACGCCGGCGGCCCUGCGCCCACCCGGCCUCCGCGCCCCUAGCUGCCCUCCCUCCCCCGCUGGGAGCCAGUGGCCACGCGGCCAAGCUCCCCUCCCUCCCUGCAUCGGCAGCCGGUGGCUGUGCCCGCGUGCCCAAGCUCACGUUACUCCCCGCGCCGGGAGCUGGCGGCCGCGUCCCAGCCUCCUUCCUCCCUGCGUCGCGCUCGACUCCCCGCACACCAGAAGGUCGCUUCACUCCACUCCACCCCGCCUCCCCUCUGCAUGCUCCGAUGGUGGCUCGAGGUCCGACGAAAGCCUAAGGCAGAGCCCCGCGCGGCACAACCGAGCUGCGGUGGGCGAGCAAUGGCAGAGCCCCAUGCAGCAGCACGAGCUCCGACGAGCGCCGGACCUCUCGCUAAGCCGGUAGCCGCGAGCUCUUCCGCGUGCCACGGCGCUAGGCCGGAGGCCAUGAGCACGCAGCCGGCCGCCCCGGAUCCAGCGUCAGGGGCGCCGCCAAAGAACUCGGCCGAGGCGGAGGCGGAGGCGGAGGCAAGAGGAGGGCGGCGGGGGCGAGGUUGGGCGGCAGAGGCGGCGGGGCCGGCCGGAGGCGGCUUGGCCGGCGAGGUGGAGGCGAGUGCAGUGCGGAGGAGAGAGAGGGGGGUGCGGGAGGGCAACCAGGGAAAGAUGGUCCUUGGAACCACUUUUAACACCCAUUAGCCCAUUUUAGCACCCCUUAAGGGGCUAAAGGAAAAGGGGGGCUAAAGUUUAGCACCCCUCCUUUAGCCUAAAAUGGGGCUAAAAGAGGCGGGCUAAACUUUAGGCCCCCCCUCCAAACAGGGCUUAACUCAACUUUGAGAAUGCCAGACAUAAAUUUUACCUAUUUUAGUUUAGGGCACUAGUUUUGAGGUCCGAUAAACCGUUUCGAGCACUAUAGAGUCCUGCCACCUCUUCACACUAUACCUCCAUACGACCCCUACACACUCCAGAGCUCAUUACCCGUGGCUAGCCUCUUCAUGGCGUGCUCCACUUUAAUAACUCCCUCCCAAACGAGUGGCUUGCCGUCUCCCUCAUCUUUGUGCUAACACAUGACUUCCUGAUAUGCACCCUGUGCUUGGGUCGUGACAUGGAGUUCAUCCUUAUCUAGGUGGGCUUCGCACUCCUGCAUUAGCUCGACCCAGUAUAUGCCCACAACCACAUCUUCAUCUUUCACGACGAGCUCCACGUCCUACCACCCUUCCUCUUUCCUAAGAUGUUGUUCGUAAAGGUCAUGCUUACCAACAUCUAUGACACCUGCAGCCCCGACACCAUCCAUGCUAUUACAAAGCUACACCGACGGGCUGUCCAAGUGGGAGGAAGAGAACCUCCACACGGUGCGCUUCGCACAAGGUGUUUUGAAAUGUUGGACUUUACAUGUUUUAAUGCCGCGGCAGUGAUUUGAGACUUUGUUUUAGCAGUUGGUUUUGCAUGUUAGUUUUAGGAACUUUUGAUGUCGCAGUAGAUAUAUUUUUGUUGCUGCAAAAGGUGAUUUGAGGCGCAUGGAAUUUUACAUGUUUCGAUGUUGUAAGGAUGAUUUGAGUCUUUCAAGUUGGCUUUGGGUGUUGAUUUUAGCAAAUUUUCAAUAUUGCAGAAGAUAAUUGUGAAGGUUUUUACUGCAAUAUGUGUCUUUAGAAGUUGGGUCUUACACCCUCCGUCCCAAAUUACUAUUCGUUUUGACUUUUCUAAAUAUGUAACCUUUAAGAUUAUAUCUACGUACAUAAUAAAAGUUAUGUACGUAGAAAAGUUAAAACGAAUAGUAAUUUGGGACAGAAGGAGUACGUGUUUUGGUUUGCAACGGAGAGUAUUUUAGCAGUUGAUUUUGGGGGUACAUGUUGGCCUCGUAAUGAUUUGAUAUUGCAAUAUACGUAGGAACAAAUAUUUGCGGGAGCAGCUCGCAACCGGAGCAGCAAUACGCUCCACUGCCGUUGGGCAGCUCGCCGUUGGGUAGCUCAUGGACCUCACUCGGACGCUGGAAGGUUUUCUUCUGCUUUUGCUUUUGGAUCGCGACGGGAGUAGGGUGCAGACGUUUUUUUAUUUAUUUAAUGGUUAAAUCGGUGCGUCAGACGUUCAGGAGCUAGCGAGACCAUAAAAAAAUCUAAAGAUAUUUCAUACUGAAAUGAAAAUAUUUUAUUAAUAAGGUACUAUUGUGUUCCUUUUUAUUGAUUUUUUCCCUGUACGGGACCAAACUCUUUUUUUUUUCCGAAACUCUACGGGACCAAACUCCAACGGCUCAACCCCAACAAUUUACAUUGUGCCACACGGUAGUAGUUCACGGCUUGACAACACUGUCACCUUUCACUGACCAGAUGCUGGUGCAAAUCACACCUCGACCAGAGAACACGGCAAAAAAUUAGCACGCAGCGGCUUCGAGCCUUCGAGCGAUCGACCGAGACGACCAAUGCACGGACGCUCGCUCACCAGACGGGCAGCAGGUAGCAGAACUCGGCGUCGUACGGCUCGACCUCCACCAUCUUGGCCGCCGGCGCCGGAGUCCCCACCGUGCCCCUGCCGCCGCCGCUAGCGCCCAGGACCUCCCUGAUGGCCCGCCGGAGCGGGCCCGACGCCCGGGGCAGCUGGCUGUGCACCCACUCCAGCAGGGACGCGUCGUCGUCGGCGAAGUCCCGCAUGUGCCAGUGCAGCAGCUUGGGCACCACGACGGCGCGCUGCCUCCGGCCGCCGGCGACGCGCACCGCCGCCUCCAGGUACUCCACCUUGGCGCGCUCCAGCUCGUUCGACACGUCCUCCGCCGUGUACACGCGCAGCUGCAGCGGCCGCGCACGUGAGGUCAGUGUCAGUCUGUGGAGCAGAGAAAAAAAAAUGCCAGUAUGUAGGAGGAGCUCUGGCAGUGACUGAUCGGCAUACGCACCGCCGGCGAGGAGCGGCUGCCUCUGCACAGCGCGAAGACGACGUUGGGUUCAGGGUACCCGAGGCCGUACAAGUGCAGAAGAUCCCUCUGUCCUUCGUCCAUGAUCCCCUUAUCAUCAUCAUCAGAAUAUCAGAUAACCUUGUUGUUAAGAAUUUAAUGAAGGGAAAUGAUGUAGUAGCAUCCUAUUCCUGCAAGAAAGUUUAUGGUUGGAUGGUGUAAACCUAAUCUUGCAUACCUGCUUGCCUUCGGGAGAGUGCCUCAGGAUGAGGUGCUCGAUCGACAGGACAUUCAGCACUGUUCCUCCGACGUUCACUGAAGCCUGAAUGCCAGUUUCUGUUAGCAAUGUGCGUAAAGAUGACGGAAUUCGAUCUGAAUCAUCAAAUUUUUUGUCAGCAAUGUGGAAAGAAACGCUACACCUGAUUCAGCAGCGCAACAAGCUUUUCCGGGGAUGGAGGUAAACCGUGCUGAAGAAACGCCUGAAAUCAUGCCGGAAUAACCUGUCCUGAAUCAGCAUUGUUGCUUUCGAGCAAUUGUUCUAUGCCUGGAGAUGCAAUUAAAGGGCAGCUUACAGUACAUGCAUCACGCAGAAGUUGUAGAUGUUGAUCCAGAACGCCAGCUUCUGCUUGUUCGUCAGAAGGCUCGGAUCGGCGGUGCAAAGCUUUUGCAUCAAUCCCCUGUAAGAGAACGCACACGCAAAACAAACGCUAUCAUUCAGACCUGAAGCUUCCCCUGACCGUUGAACAACAACACGCCCAAACGGGAAGCCUCACCUCAGGUUCUUGAUGUCGACGAGGCACAGCGAUAUGCGGCUGACGUCGACGGACGCCCUCGUGAACUCGACGAACCUCCUGUGGCACCCGGCACCGGCAGCGGCAGUCUCCUUAUCCGCGCCAUGUCCGGCCUUCGCCGUCGCCGACGCCCUCCGGUUCUUGAGCGGGCUCAUCGCGGCGGCGGCGCCGGUCACGGCGACCCUGGGGACGAGGCUCCGAGGCCCGAUGCAGGAGAUGUUGAGCUUCGACGCGCCGCCCAGCUCCAGCUCCCCCGCGUCCCCCGCCUUGUUCAGCUUUUGGAAGAUGGUCACCAUCAGCCUGAUCAGCUCCUCCGACAGCUUGUUCGGGCUGCUCAGGCAGACCUUCCUCUCCGGAGGCGUCGGCGUCGUCUCCGACGGCUUGCAGUGGCUGCUUCUCCUUGCAGUGACAUGCUCCAUUUCAUCUCCUAAUUAAAAUAUCAUGAUGAUCAAGCAGCAACAAAAAAAGAACAUAUGAACUCUGAACUCGCACGUGUUUUUGCUGAACAUUUCAUACCUUUGGCGGAGGCGGAUCCAACAGAAGCCUUGCUCUCGCAUUCGAGAGCUUCGUCGCUGCUUGGGCAGGGCAGCUUCGGCAGCUGCUGGGCACCCUGGAGCUGGAGCUCUCUCCUGGACACGGAGUGCCGGGGCUGGCGGCUCUGCGGCCAGCUCUGCUGCUGCUGCUGCUGGAUGCACUGGUCCGUCCACCUCUGCUCCCGGCGCAGGCGCAGCCGCAGGUCCUCGACCUUCUUCUCCAGGUAGAAUAUCUCGUCCUCCACCAUCGCCAGCUCCCCAAGCAGGCCCCUAACCUACAUACACCAGUGCGAACAAAGCAAGUGAAAAAUUCAUGUCAGUCAGCGAACACGUUCAGCAGACAGGCAUUUUGGUCAGGUUCCAGGCUUCCAGCCAUUGGCAUGAUGAGCACACAGAAGCACAGAGUUACCGACAGAAGAAGAAUUUUACAGCUGAUGCUGACAUGGUUAAAUACUUCGUGAGAUCGAUCGUACUGAUACCAUGCCAUGGAAGGCACUGAUCAUUGGUCAGCUAAUGGAGGUACAAUAAUGCAGGAUCCAAGGAAACCAGCAGAUCUGGUAGAUAAGAGGUAGGAGGCAGCGAUUGUCCGCAGGCGACUCGAAACGGCGACGCUCCAGAUCGGACACAGUACUUCCGCGUCCUUCGUUCAGAGGUCAGAGCCAGGUGACAUCGGAUGAGACAGGAACGGAGGCAGGAAUCCAAAGGACAUACUGUACCCGCACCUGGCGUUGCUCUCACACCCGGGGUACGGGGACCCUGAUGAGAUCUUGGGCCCGUGGAAUGGAGAUCAGGAAAAUGGCCGUGCUCUCUGUUACUGUUACUACUACUGCGUGCGUGAUGUUACCGUAGGUGAUCUUAUUGGGUGCAGGAUUUGCAGACAUCUGUACGAGGGUGACAGCGUCACGUGUGUGAUCUUUCAGUUCAGAUGCUGCGGUGAAGUGAAAUGCAUGCUAUGAUGGCAAUUCCUCUGCUGCUGCGGCUGCAGUGAUGGUACGCUGGCAAUCAUGCUUGUUCGUCGUCGUCCAGACUUCAGACUGAACAGCUUCAACUUUUUAAGCACAGCUCCAGACAUAUGCAAAGUGUGCCCUAUUGUAGUAUUGCUACAUAAUCUGAACUAUCAAGUGUAUCCUAUUGUAGUAUCGUUUACAGAUAAUGUAAGCUACCAACGGUAAUAAGGUAACAUGAAAGAAGAACAUAUCGGAAGCUGCAAGGCAGAAUUUGCUCGAAUGGUACUCGUGCGGACAUCAGUUCAAUCUACGGAUGGGGGAUGGCAAUAAUCCAUGAGCUUACACUGAGUGUCAGAUACUUAGACUGACGGAACUGAACAUUUAGCAGCCCAUCAAACAGAGAUGAUCGGACGAUCGGAAGGUGAGCAGAGAGGUACUCACAUUGGUGGGAACGAGUGUGGAGAGGCAGCAAUGGCAGACGACGCGCCCCUGCAGCGAGCACUGGAGGACCCUGCCCAGCCGCUGCUCCUUCUCCAGCACCGUCUCCAGCUCCGACACCUGCACACAGCAAAGGCCCACAGCGUUCAUCAGCUCUGAAACGUCGAGCGGCGGCGCUCGCCGAUCAUCCAUCGCGCGUGCACGCGCAUGUCAGUGUCAGUGCUCUGCAGCAGCCGGCCUGACCGACCUCGAACUCGAGCUCGAGGCGCUUCUCGCGCUGCUCCUCCCGGUCCAUGAGGAAGUACAUGAGCUUCAUCUUGCACCGGCGCACCCGCGGCCUUCUUAAACCCGCGGCGCCCGCGCCCGGCCUCCCCCGCCGCCGGUGCUGGAGCGAGGUGGGGUAACUCCUGGCGCCGCCGGCGGCGGCGGUGGGGCGUAAUGGCGUCGGCGAGCUCAUUUAUGCGUCUCCCCGUCAAGAAAAAGGAGGAGGCUGGUGGGAUGGAGGCGCGCGCGGUAGGCAACGGUGGCGGUGAAGCCGGGGGGACGCGUCGGCGUCGGCGUCGCGCGCGUCACGCUUCCCGUGCGGGCAACGGAAAUCUCUGGCCCAUGCGACGCAUGACCGGCUUAAAUUCACCAGCGGUUGACGCCAACGCUCGCUCGGGGAGGAGUUUGCUUGCUUACCGAGGGGCUGAGAAUUUAUGCCCGUGACGGGAUCUGUUACCGAGGAGACUUUGAUGAGGGGUCUCUCCUCUCCUCUCACAUUUUCUCUCUCGAUUUGUUAGGCCAGUCACAGCACAAUUUCAUUGCACAUUUACCUGAACUACGUAACUGUGCUAUAUAAAUUUUACUAGAACUCCUUCCUCGUUUGAUGAAACUUCCUCUAUUAAUUAUCUUACCAAGUCAGCAAUUUUGCUGAUGUGAUAUUAAAUUUAAUGCCAUAAAACUUCCCAUCGAGACUGGUCUUACUGUACCAAUAUUUUACUGUACCAAUAUUUUAGGCAAAAUUUGAACCUUGAAUAAUAUGGUUUGGUUUCCUAUUUCAUUCGUUAAAAACAUGAUAAUUCUGAAGUGACCGGCACUCUUUCUUUCUUUUUUUUUAACCCAACAAUUCCCAGGGUCAGUUUCCUUUUCAGAUUGUUGAAUUGUAUUGUGGAAAAGAUUGCAAAACAUAGUAUAGGUUCAAAAAUUCAAAAAAGCUAGCACUUCCCCCGUCAAAUGUAAGGCUUCAUGCAUCAUCACCCUAAUCUGAUCCUGCCAAUCAGCUCAAGGUACAGAUACUCUUUCAUUUCUCCGAAAGUGCAUUGGCUAGGGCAGCAUCGCUAAUCCCCUUAGAUGUGCCUACAAAAUGUUUUGUUUGAUCGGCCAAUAAUGAACGCAUCAUUCCAUCAUGGUACAAUUCUGACGCUGCGUCCCAAUCAUCGCAGGCGUGGAAAAGAAUCCUAGUCCUAGGACAGUGUAGGGUUUCAUACCAAUACUGUUAUGUCAUCAAUGAAAUCAAAUUAUCACUUUCAGAACACAGUUUCAUAGAUAACCUGCGAGCGAUGAAACUAUAACAUUCUAGUUUCAUAAGGAUAAAACUCCCCUUUCAUCUCUCCUCAUAAUUAGAUUGCCAAGUCAGCAAAACGGCUGAUAUAACAGAUUUGGACGGUUUCAUGAGGAUAAAACUCCCCUUUCAUCUCUCAUUGCCAUCUCUCCUCAUAAUUAGAUUGACAAAUUGCCAAGUCAGCAAAAUUGCUGAUAUAACAGAUUUAAUGCCCAUGAAACCUAGAAUUUAAUACCAUAAAACCCCACUGAAACUAACCUUUAAGGCUGGUGAAACGAUGAGCGUGGCCUUAGUGAAACGAUGAGCGUGCCAUACAACUGCUUUGCUGCCUCCGUGCAAAGAUUAGCUGACCCGUUGCAUUCACAGGCCCGGCUAAUCCGCCCUCAUUAAACACAAAAGACACAGAUAAUGCAAAGUUCCAAACGGAGUCACUACUAACGUGGCCAGAGCAUUUGGCUGGAUAGCCGGCAUCCACCCAACAACAUUAGGAUAAUGCAAUCAAAACAAGCCUAACGAUUCAGCAACCUAAAGGUCCAUGUAGAAAAACAGCAUCGAAUCUGGUGUAAUGUGACUCACCACAAAAGGGGGCUAACAAAAAAAAACCAUUAUUGAUAUGUCCAGAGGUAGUAAACAUUAUUAGCAAGCUCAAGCUGUGGCCUCAGAAAAAGCUACAUAGCACAGAAAACAAUUCUGUUCCUGUUCAGCGGAUCUCCGCGUCAGGGGUGGAAGGGUCGGGGACACAUCUUAGGCGGACUUCACGGUGGCCGAGUUGAUGAUGUCGAUGAACUCAGGCUGCAGACAAGAUAGGGGAUAAGAAACAGUCAGUAACAGAGGAUGUUGAUAAGGCCAGACACCAUCAUUUUGUUGCAGUCUUUGGUUUACAAAUUAACAGGACAUCAGCUGUCUUCCAGGAUUUUUCGUUACCUUCAAAGAAGCACCACCGACGAGGAAACCGUCAACAUCGGGCUUUGCUGCCAGCUCUUUGCAGUUUGCAGCAGUCACAGAGCCUGUAGGAAGAAGAGCACAAAUAAUCAUGUACCAAAAAGAUUUAGCAGCUGGUGCACAUUUGUAAGGCAACUGCUCGAGAAGUGUAUACCUCCGUAGAUGAUCCUGGUAGAUUCGGACACCUCAGGGCUGACGUUGAUCUUUAGCCAAUCUCUCAGGGAUGCGUGCACCUGCAAAGAUAAUGCAAAUCUGAGUGUUUGUGCGACGUUGUAGUAGAUGAAGAUAUUUAUAAUUGCAAGAGCAUAGCCCAAUGUUGAAAAAUGUAUGAACCAGUAGAGAGUUGUGAGAGUUAAGAGAGACUUACUUCCUGAGCCUGAUCAGGGGUGGCAACUUUACCAGUUCCAAUGGCCCAGACUGGCUCGUAGGCAACAACCACGUUGCUCCAGUCCUUGAUCUUCUCUGUAAAACAAACAAGCAUUACAUCCUUUCAGCCUGAAUUUCCACAUGGCACCAAUAUUUUUAACUUGGCAAAUUGAAGAUAAGGCACAAAGUUAACAUGAAAUAAACAAUCCAGGCAAAAAUAAACACGUAAUCCUUCCAAUCAACAGGGGGGCACAGGAACCAAUUUCUGAACUACAGCUGCUAGAGAAAAACAGUAAUGCCUGAACUAGAAGAGUACAUUUUCUAACCAAACUGAACGCCGGGAUCUAAUUAGCGUAAAACAAGAUUAGAAACGAAGUGUUUAUCAUAAGAUGUAUGGCUACCUUUUUUAUAAUUUUGAAGUUCUAUAUGCCUGGGAGAUAGACAUAAAAGUAUUUGGAUAUAAUCAAUCAACAAUCCACAUGAAAAACACUAACAGUGAAUACAUAAAAAAGAGAGUAUGCACAAUCACAGGACUGAAUGUAAAUGUGAAGUACCAGCAAUUGCUUUUGUUUGUGCAGCAACAACAUCCAUGGUCGAUCCAGCUUCCCUCUGCUCAAGGGUCUCACCAACACAUGCAAUGACCUUUAGUCCCUGAGAGAGUGCAUAGGCGACUUUGUCUCCAACAAACUGGCAUCCAAGCAGAAGAUUGAACCAUUAGAUGUGAACAUUCUUAGAACAGGUGCAUCAAUAAUCAAAUAUAUCGCAGAUUCAUGUCUAAGGGAAGGAUUAAAGAAGAAUAACUGAACAAGUCUCAGCUCAGUAACUGUAACAUAGUCCGAUUGGCAAUAUGCAUAACAGCACAACCACAAUGCAAAUGACACGAAAGACAUGCUGAAUUUGAACUGGAGCAUACCUCAUUUGAUUCUCCCAACAGAGCUCUCCUUUCAGAGUGUCCAAGAAUGACCCAGGGAACGCCAAGGUUGACGAGCAUCUCAGCACUGCAUCAAUAAUGGCUUGCUUAUCAACCAACACAAAAAUUGAAUGAGGAAUGCACCGAAGCGCAAUGUACAAACAGCUUAAUAAGGUUAUAUAUGCAAACUGCUUAACAUGGCAUCAGCAGUAUGAAAAUAACUAAAAUUGAGUGAAAGCCUGAAAGGUGAAUUCAAAAGACUCCAUGCAUUAAUGGUCAAAGGAACAUGAGCCUUGUGCUUGUGUAAACGCUGCAUGAAUUUGCAUUUCAGAUUCAACAUUAAUCCUUCCUCACAAGGGCUAUACAACAUAUGGGGUGGACAGCCAGGAGAGAAUUAGAGACUAACCUGACUUCACCAGUGAAAGCACCUCCCUUCUUCACCCAGCAGUUCUGAGCAGCAACUUGGAACUCUGGGCGGAGCUGACUCUUGACCACAGGAAGGAACACAUAAGGAGGGCUGACAACAACCUCUGCAAUGCAACAAUUCCAAAUAGCUAAGUACAUCAUACAAGUAAAAUUUCUCAGAAGUACCACAAAUCUGCGAUGUUCAAGGUCACCCCUAAAAGGGAAGAGUCCAUACCAACAACAUCUGGAGGGGGAACCUGCCCUUCAUUCAGAGUUUUGACAAUCUUGUCAACCUGAUCGGCGGUUCCAUUCUGCAAGCAUGAAGAUCGACCAUGUCAAUAAUCAGUUAACAAGCAAUUCACUAGAUAUGCAUGUCAUUUGUAUGAGAAAUUUGGCAAAGCAACAGGCUCUUUCACUACCAACCGAUUUGCAAAAGAAGCUCCAAUCUAAGCUCAAAUUUACCGAGUUUCAUCACAAGAAAAUCCAUAAUUUACGAGCUCCAUCACAAAAACAAUAAAGGUUCAAGUCGCUAUAUCUAUAACAAGCAUUGCACGAUCUUAUAACGAUACAGUGAGGAAUAGUAUGUAAAUUGGGGGCUGAUCUGCGUGGCAGAUGAAUAUGGAUCUCCAGAAGUUGGCAGAUCGAACUUCUAACCGCUCCUGGAAACAUGCAUCACACAAGGUUUUAACGGUUUGUUCUGAGCACGAAGCACAGGCGGGUUGCAAGAAUCACGCAGGCACUUUUCAGCUAGGUCCAAACAUACAAAGACCAUCAACAUCACGUUGUCUGAUUCCGUACGAGAAUGACUAAAUCAGUUGUAUUCCUGGCCGGAUCUUAAGAGAUAGCACCUGGAGCAACACAUCCAGUCUUCCCAAACAAGACAGAACAAAAAAAAAUAUCCAUACGUCGAUCUAAAUCGAGAUGGGUAGAAUUCACUAGCAAUUUCCGCCCUCGAAUCCCCCAAAAUCACUAGCUCAACCGCAAACAGAACGCGAAAAGGGAUCAGAAAAGAAAUCCAAAAGCUUCCCACCCGAUCCACGACGAGAAAAACAGGCAGGUAGGAGGGGAAGAGCGAUUACGCAUUUCCAGUUGCCACCGACGAAGAACUUGCGGCCCAUCUCGACGAGGUGUUGGGUUCGGAAGGAAGAGGAUGGCUGGAUGGGGACUUGGGGAGCUUCUAGGUUGGAUUUUGCUUCUUGUGGAGGAAGACCGGAAGAGACAGGAUGGAUGGAUAAUAUAAGGCGGGGCGAGGUGUGUGGCCUCUGAUGUGAUCACAUGAGGCCGGCCGGCCAGGACUCACGAUGACAUGUGGACCCCGCAGCCACCAUCGAGUUUUUCUAGAGCUUUUUCCCCCUAAAAAAAUGUCUUGGUAUCUUUAGGCAAAAGCUAAAUUGUUACGUGUACCAAGGAAGCUUACUCGAAUCUUUGCUUAUGGAUGGCUCGUAUGAUUGCCUCAAGCUCCAAGCUGAUGUUACAAUAUCUCUAAAAAUAGCUGGAAGUAUCCUAAUUCGCCACCAUCUUUUUUAUAUAAGGCAAACAUAUCAAAAGUUCUCCAAGUUCCUAUGCAGCUUGGAAUAAAUUAAACCAAACUAUAGUUUAGCACAUUGUUAAAGCUUGUAAGAGGUUAGUAUAAAGUAGAAACGUUUUAUUUCAAAAAAAAGAAAGUAAAAAAACGUCAUGUUCGUAUGCUCAUCUGCUGCGCGCAUAAACGAAUUCUGGCGGUGGCCUUAGCUAGGUUGGCCACAGGGGACGCGGCUGCAGACGAUCCCACGGUUGCGGGUGGUAUUGUGGGCACCUGGCACAGCAGCGCGGAACAAGGGGCGGCGAAGCAGCGGCGGAUGCGGAUGGCAUGGCAUCGCGCUCGUGCGUGCGUCAUACGUGGCUGCUGCUGAAUCGAUGCGCAUCUCCGCCUCGGUGAUUCCGCUUUCCGGCUUUUGCCCGUGCUGCCUCCUCCUCCUCCUCCUCCUUUUGGUUCCUCGCCUUCAAUAUAGGCCCACUCGCUCCGGAACGGGCCACAGGUCGGCAGGUCCCAUCUCAGCAGAUUCGGCCCGUUUUAGAGACCCAGCAAAAUGAUUCGUUAAUAUUAAGUAUGAUUGAUGAAGUACGGAGUAAGUUUCUAUUUUAAUCGAGAAAGUUGCCCGGCAAAAUUUGUAAAAUUCUCACGGUGAAGGUGCGAGAUUUAUAAAUCACACCCCUCCUAAGACUACAAGAUGGACGAUUUGACAUAGAAUUCGGUUCAACGCGGUACAAAUUUCUACGGCACAUGGGCCUACACCAUCUUGCUGCUAUAUAUCACAUCGAUUUCUUUAUAAUAUUUUUUUAUCUCACUUCAAACUUAUAUAAAAAAGAUUAUAGCAUCAUUGACUUUUUAAACAAACUUUGAACAACAAUAUUUAUUUAAUGAAUUAGUUUAAUAAAGCAAAGUAAGUACCACAAUGCCUAUUAUAAAAAAAAUGUAGAUUUAACUUAUAAAUUCAUCUAUUUGCAUAACUAUUUGUAGAAAAGAUUAAUAGUCAAAUAAAUAAAAAAAAUUAAUGGUGUGCUAUGAAACUAUGCAUUGAGAUUGGUCAAACUAAUAAUGAAUGAUUAACAUCUUUGCUACGCAAUGGUCAACUGGUUGAUAGGAAAAUAAAGAGAGGGGCUGCGUGCUUUAAAACUUGUAGAAGAAAUAGCAGGAGUGAGCACAACAACUCAUCGCUGACCACCAACUCUCUUUGCCAUUGGCGCCUUCGCCUUUCUUUCCAGGUAGCGUUCGUUAUGAUGAUGGUUACAUCCGCACUCGCUACCAUGAUUUAGGCAUCUCUUAGCUUUGUCGACGUUUCCUUCUAGAACUCAAUGGCAAUUGGUCUUAAAAACUGAUGAUAUGAUAGGACGUGUGCCUCGCCGUCCUACCGUAACCACGAAAUUUUAAAGACGACUGGACGCGGGUGAGCAAUCCUCUUGUCAUUGUUUUGUUGUCCGCAGGAAAGGAGUUAGUAGCAGCUAGCUUUUCGUCAAGGUUGGCAAGACCGGCUGCGUAGCUCCGUCCUUAAUUAGUUACCACGUGAAUAGCAUGUUUUUAUAUAUGCUUUAUUAAUUGGUAGCUCCAUCAAUAACUACCGGUAUUUCAUCACUUCCAAGAUUCAAUGGGUUUUGCUUACCGCUUUUUUUUCCAUUAAACCAUCCUGUCAACACUAGUUAUGCAAUGUAAUUCGCAUGGUUGCAGUAGGGUCUGUUUGGAUGUGUUAUUGCUAAAGUUUAGUAUUUUCAUCCAUUAGUACUCCCGUUCGAAGACAUGGCUAAUGGAUGGAGCUAAAGUUCAUGAAAAGUCACUUUUGCCCUUUUAUCUACUCACCUCCUCCCUUUCUCUCUCCCUUUUUGUUUUUUCACAAGCUAUUAACACCCAUUAGCUUCUCCCCACCCGUUAAUGCUUUUGCAAUUUUUUGAAGAUGGGCUAAAGUUUGGAUAGGCUAAUGCAUAAAGAGGUUAACUUUCGUCCAUUAAACACGCCUAUAAUCAAAAGUUGCUUCUUCUUUUUUACUGGCUUUUGACCAUCAUGCGAUGAGUGAUGCCGUGGCGGUUGCGGGGUGUUUUGAUGAGUGAUGCCGUGGUGGUUGUCCUUAGGGGGUGUUUGGAUACUAGGUGCUAAACUUUAGCAGCGUCACAUCGGAUGUUCGGAUGCUAAUUAGGAGUACUAAACAUGAGCUAAUUAUAAAACUAACUGCAGAACCCCUGUGCUAAUUUGCGAGACGAAUCUAUUAAGCCUAAUUAAUCCAUCAUUAGCAAAUGGUUACUGUAGCACCACAUUGUCAAAUCAUGGACUAAUUAGGCUUAAUAGAUUCGUCUCGUGAAUUAGACUCCAUCCGUGCAAUUAGUUUUGUAAUUAGCCUACAUUUAAUACUUCUAAUUAGCAUCCAAAAUACCCGAUGGGAUAGGUGCUUAUUCAAACGGGCCUUAGUUAUCACGUGAGCAGCUAUACCAGCCUUCCACCAAACUAAGGUCACCCGGUGGUCCACAUCCACAUGUUAUUUACAGAAAGGUUAAUAUCAUCGACCGUGACCUGAAUGAAGCCUUAAGGAGAAGGUUCUCCAUGCCGGGACGAGUCAUCGCCCUCCGUGGCACGCAGUGCGAUCUCUCUGGUUGCUGCUAGUCAUGAAACAGGCGAUGUUUCAGAGAUCUCAGGAUUUUCAGACACGACGUCGUGUUUCUUCCUUUUUCAUGUCAGUCAGAGUCGGGCACUCAGGCCUACACGAGUCACCGACCAUUUUUUCAUCAGCUGCUAGGCUAUUUUUCUUCACCGAGGAACAGACCACAUGUCCGGCCAACGAAGGUUCAUCGCGUCCUUUGAUUGGUGACGGUAGAGCUCUCGCGCCUCUCCCGUUGACGUCUGGUGAUUCUGUCUGCCACACAUCUUAUCUGACAUUCUACAAUCGUUCAAAGAUCUCACGCAUCCAUGAGUAAGGUUUGGGGAUGAUGUUGCAUCCGGAAAUUUGACGACCGCGAGUGGUAUGGUAAUAAAUACACGGACUGAGCUUGAUCAACGUAGCUUACUCCACAUGUAUACGUACACUAUAUACACUAUAUCUAGAUGCAUAAUAAUAUCUAUAAAACUAGAAAAGUCAAAAUGACCUAUAAUUUGGAACAACCAUCAAACUUAAGUGUCAAAAUUAAGGUUCUCGAUUCAUCGUCUAGCAUAAAAUUUGCUUAAACCCCGACCUGUUCUUUUUUUUACUGUUGCAACUUGUUCCACGGUGGAUAAAAUCGUUGGCGCAACUAUAUAAUGAUAGAUCCGAUUUGAACUUGAUUCGGAAACGCAACUAGGUUGGCUAAACAUUGAAAACUGCACUAUAAAUGUUGGCAAAGUAAUUUGUGUUGCCACGUCAACCUCGCGUGAGAUGGUCUGGAAUGUGCUUUUUAGGCUGACGCUCUACUCAACUUCUUAAUGAGGUUUAUUUCUUGUCGGGGACAUUUGUCGUGAUGCCUUCUCUUCCAUCUUAAGAGGAGUUUGGGUUGAAAGACCUUGUGCCAGCUUUCGGUCGGCGUUGACAGUGCUUGCGGAUGUUGUUUCCUUGCUGGAGGCAUCAUCGUUGUUACCCUUUCCCUAAGUUAGUUACCUGUUUUGUGUGAGUUGGCUGUCAACUGCAAGUGUAGUGGCUGCAGUUUCUUCCUUGUGGUGGUUUAUGGUUGUCGUGUGGGUGUGGGCUAAUGGUUGAUUCUGAUGACUUGUAAUUGUUGUUCUUUUAUUUCAUAUUCUCUAAAUUAAUCUGUGGGCUUCGUCUAAAAAAAUAAAAUUCAGCCGCGUCUAAAAAACUUUUUGCCAAAUUUCCUGUCGUAUCUCUUUUUUCCCUAAAAUUCUUCCGACGGGCCGGGCCGGGCGCGCCAUUUUUGGCUAAAGUUACCGCAGUGCCCCUUUUCCCCCAGUCGCAGGCUCGCGGCGCAGUGAGCCACACGCCCGCACAUCACGAUCGCUGCUAGCGGGCCCCGCUUUCAGUGACCGCACACCGAACGAACCCGCGCGUGGGACCCACCGCCCAGCGGUCGAACCACCCCUCCCUCUCUCUCUCUCAGCUUGCCGCGACGAUAAGCACGGCAAUCCAAUCCACCACGAAGCCGCCAUCCGCCAUUAGCCCUGCACCACCCCGUCACGCAAUAGGCAGGAGAGAGGUGGAAGAAAGAAAGAAAAAAAAACAGAAAGGAAAAACACCAGCUUACACGAAUCGUCUCGAGCCUCUCGGGUGAAGUUAUAAAUAACCCCCAUCGGGGCUAGGGUUGAGGAUUUUCUUUCUUCGCUUCUCGCGAAUCGCCGGACGAGCAGGGCAGCAGGCCGAAUCGGUUCGAGGUCUCCGCGGGAGGCUUCGCGGCGCGGGAUCUGCCGCGCAGGAGUUGACGGUGUGAUUCGGGAGGUGGGGUUUUGGCGGGCGGCGCCGGGUUCCCGGUUGGCCGAUUCGGGCGAGAGGCUGGGGCGCGGGGGCGGGCGAUCGGGCCACUGGAGCUGCACCCACUGGUUGCGGGCCAUGGCCGGGAUCGACGCCGGGGAGGGGGCGGCCGCCGCGCCGCCGGAGAUGUCGCCGGAGCAGCGCAUCGAGCAGGUGCGUCGCGUGUCCGCCUGGGGCCCCCUUCCUUCCCUCCCUCCCUCCCUCGUGUGUGAUCCUCACCCCAUCAUCGACCCCGUGCGGCGGUGGCUGCUUGCCGGGUGCCGUCGCCCCUCUGGUUCCUGGUCUCGUGAUUGGUUGGAAUCGGUUCGGCGGGUGAUUUGAGAUUUUACCGGUCGAUGGGCGCCGUGGGACUCGUUGCUGUCCGUUGGCGGUGGUGGUGGUGCUUGCGAUUUGCGAUUCCCUUCGAUGGUGCGAUGAUUGGUGUGUUUGCUGUGAGCCUGUGACAGGAACUGACUGGUGUAGGGAGUUUGGGGGUAGGUCCUGUUUUUUAGGGUGACGCAUAUUGGGAGAAUUUGAGAACAGGCCUUUUAAAAAUGUGUCAAUUUUUCAUACUCCGCGUAACUUCACUCUAGUUCUAUUUCCUUAUUAGUACCUUUGAAGAAUUUGUCUAUUUUUUAGUUGAUCCCUAAGAUAGGGAUGGGAGAUUCCUUCAGAACUGGGUGUGUUUCUCGACUGUGUUGAAGAUAAUCAGUUGUCUUGUUGCAGUUGCAGUGAUAUGAGUUUCACUUCAUGAUAAAUUUAAAUGAUCCAGCAGGGUCUUUUGUAAUUUGCUAAUUAUUUGGCAUUGCCCUCACCCUGCAGAAGCUCAUUCUCUAUGGAGUACCCGAAGAGCAACUGCAAGAACACCAAGAAGGCUUACUCAUGUACAUAGAGAAGCACAAAGAGCAGAUACCUGAUAUAGUGAGGCUGAUCUUGUCAGUAGGUACUGAUAUUCUGGAGGCCCGAAAGCCCUCAAAGAAGGAAUCAAGUAGCAGCAGCAGUGGCGAUGCGUACAGUGAGAGUUUGUCUUGGUUGCAGUGGUUGAUGUUCAACCAUGAGCCAGAAGCGAUGCUUCAAGACCUGGAUCGUUCCUCUGCAGGAGAUCGUGCUGUUUGUGGGUCAGUCUGGGGACAGAGUGAUCUUGCGUAUCGCUGCCGGACCUGUGAAAAUGACCCCACGUGUGCAAUUUGUGUCCCAUGCUUCCAGAAUGGCAAUCACAAGGAUCAUGAUUACUCCAUCAUGUAUACAGGGGGUGGAUGUUGUGACUGUGGAGAUGCUACCGCCUGGAAGCGUGAAGGGUUCUGCUCAAAGCAUAAAGGGGCCGAGCAGAUUAAGCCUCUUCCAGAGGAGCUUGCACAUUCUGUAGGACCUGUGCUGGAUGUGCUUUUGCAGUUCUGGAAGGAGUGGAUAUGCCUGGUGGAACCACCCCCUGCAAAGGGUGAUGGUAGUAGCUCAUGCAAGAGGGUUGCUGAAGAGUUGACAAUGUCAAUUACUAACAUGAUGCUUCAGUUCUGCACUUGCAGUGAAAGCCUUCUUAGUUUUCUGUCCCUAAGGAUCCGUGAGUGCCAAGAUCUGUUGGAUGCAUUAAUAAGGUCAGAAAGGUUGCUUGACAAGAAGGUUGCUAAAAAAUUGCAUGAGUUGCUAUUGAAACUUAUCAGCGAUCCUGCUUUUAAGUAUGAGUUUGCCAAGGUUUUUAUACGCUACUACCCUGUCACAUUUGGUGAAGUUAUCAAAGGGUGCAAUGAUUCGCUACUGGAGGAGUAUCCACUGAUGCCAACUUUCUCUGUGCAAAUAUUCACAGUACCUACACUAACUACAAGGCUUGUGCAUGAGGUUAAUUUGUUGGGUGUUCUUCUUGGAUGCUUGACAGAUCUGUUUCUUUCUUGCAUUGGUGAGGAUGGUCGUUUACAGGUAUGCUCAUGUCUUCUUUUUAUGAUUUGAAGAGUUUGAUGUUUAUGCUGAACUAUUUUCUGGUAUAAUGGAUGUAAAUGUUAGGCUGACCAUAAGACCUUACGCCAGGAGUCUAUCAAUGUUGUUAUAACGAUAUGUCAUCUGGAUGCCUAGUAUCUUAAAUUGCACAGAAAAAAAAGACUAGUAGAAUUGCCACUUUGAUAUCUGGGAAUGGAUGAAUGAUAAACAUUUCUGGACAAUACCCUUGUUGGUUUCUGUUAAUUUUUUUUUGAGAAGUGGCAUUGAAGUGCGAAAAUAUUUAUAGAUAAUACUGAUUGACUGGUAGUCUUAUGCCAUUGUAUAUAUCAACUCAGUGCAUACACAUACAAUGCCACUUUACUUUCAUAUGGUUACGGGAGACCCUUUUCACCUUGUUAUUUGCAGACAAACAAAUGGGGAAACUUAUUUGACGCUUCUGUUCGAUUAUUGGAUGAUACACGCUAUGUCUUGAGUCAUGAGGAAGUUUCUAAGUAUGUUGCUUAUGAGAGGCCUGAUCUAACAAGGUCAUGGAUUAAGCUCUUAUCACUUGUGCAAGGUAUGGAUCCUCAGAAGAGAGUGACAAGUAUUCAUGCUGAAGAUGAAAAUGAACAUCUAUCUGCACCUUUCGUGCUGGGGCACUAUUUUGGAAUUGUCCAGAACCUUCUGAUAAAGGGUGCAUUUUCUCCUCCUGAUCAACAUGAAUCAACUGAUGUUACUGUUUGCUCCUCUGCGAUAAACGGCAUGGAGAGUGCUGAAAAUCAACGGCAUGCAAAAGUUGGAAGGGUCUCCCAGGAGAGCUCAGUAUCCAAUUUAAGCAUCCGAGACAGUUCUUUGAGUUGUGGUUUGCCGUCACCUGCUGCCUGGUUAAUUCUUCAAUGCCUGAAAGCUAUUGAAAGUUGGUUGGAACCUGACAUAGCUCUGAGGAGCAAGCUGUCAUCCCUUGAUCCUAGCAGCAGCGAUUCUCGUAAUUUUAUGGCUUCGCCUGAAGAUCGGACUUCUGAUAAGGGAACCAGUUCAAAUACAAAUAUAGGCGUGAUGGGUGUCAAGAUAAAUGAAGGAUCACAACCAGAUGGUACUGCAGAUUAUCGUGAUGUAUCUAGUUCUCCUGUUCAUGGUAAUUGCGACAGGAUGCAGAUUGACCAAGAAGAGAUACCUUCAGCUAGUAACAGGACAGGCAAAGGGAAGAUGCAUGACAGCAGCAACACUACAGAUAUAGAGUUGCACCCUGAGAAUGCCAUUACUUAUACUCUGACUGACGGUAGCCUUUUGCACGCUCAUCCUGAUUCAAGAAUCGAGGAACUAGGAAUACUCAACACAAGAGGUUGGCCUCAUGUUAUCUUUGACGUCAGUUCACAAGAAACUUCUUUCCAUAUCCCUUUGCACCGUAUGCUUUCAUUGCUGUUGCGGAAGGCGAUGAAGAAAUGUUUUGGAGAGGAUGCCAGGCCAGAUGAACAUUCAGUUGUGCAAUCCUGUGAGUUCUUUUCUCAGGUACUUAGAGGUUGUGAGCCUUAUGGGUUUGCUUCGAUUGUGAUGGAGCAUCCACUGAGAGUCAGAGUAUUUUGUGCACAAGUGCGUGCUGGAAUGUGGCGUAAGAAUGGUGAUGCAGCUAUACUGAGUGCUGAGUGGUACCGCUCUGUGCAAUGGUAAUUUCAUACUGAUCUCAUGUUGAUUCACUGUUCAAAUAAUGGUGCUAAGGUUAUCUUGUUACCCCUAUUUCCAGGCUUGAACAAGGUCUGGAGUCAGAUCUGUUUCUUCUUCAAUGCUGUGCUGCACUAUCUUCUCCAGAGUUCUUUGUACGAACAAUUCAAGAGCGAUUUGGUUUGUCCAGUUAUACAUCUUUGGAUCUUGCGGAACAGAAUGAGUAAGCCCUAAUAUAUGCUUGUCAACUUCUGUUUCUUUCUAGUAUUGCUUCUUCAAUUUCUUGCACUACCUUACCUAUAUAUGUAGCUUUGUGGGUUUGGCGCAGUCACUUUUUUGUUUCCACCGGUAUCUACCAAUAAAAGUUACAAUGGUGACAAAAGUUAAAAUGAUUCUUCCCACCUUCCAGCAUUACUUCUCUGACUACGUAUUGCUCAUCUUUUGGUUCCCAUCAGUAGAUUUUAUCUGUCAUCACAAAUAAGGAAAAAAAAUAGCCAUUUUCAUUUCUUUGUGCCUUUGCUUGGCAAGAAAGUAAGGUGCCAUUCACUCCGUUCUGUUAUAAAUAAGUCCCAGUUUCUGUGAAAGCCCAAUAUUAUAGGUCCAUUUAUAGCAGCUACUCCCUUCUUGUAUGAAGUCAUAGAAUCUGUGCCAUCAGACUUUCUAAAGUUCAAUUGCCAAUUUGUUUAAAACCACACUAUAUCAAAACGCUUUCACAAAAUUAUAACGUUAUUAGUAUCAAUUGACGAAGUUAGGGAAGUAGCAGUCAAAGUCAUGUGUCCGAUACCGCAAGAACCAAGAAGUAAAAAAGUGUGAUUCAUAAAAAGAAAGGAGAGAGCAUUUAGUUCUAUCCAAAUUUAUCAAAGACAACAAAGUUUUAAGUAUUUGGUCAAAACUAGCUUUGUUCAAUUUGAGCUCCAUAAUCCAUGAGAUCCAGUCAUGGCCUAGGGAAAUAUUGUUUGCAUGCUUGCCUUUUGCCUUCUCUAUCGUCCCUUCACUGUUUUCACAGUUAUUCAGACUAAUUUCUUACUGAAAAUUUUCUCACAAAAUUUAAGAAUUAUUUUAUGCCACAUGUAGGUUCUGACAGUAUGUUGCUUUCAGGUAUGAGUCAGUUCUAAUGCAGGAAAUGCUAACUUUUCUUAUACAAUUGGUUAAAGAACGCCGUUUUUGUGGGCUUUCCACAGCAGACAACUUGAAGAGGGAAUUGAUUUAUAAGUUAGCUAUUGGAGAUGCCACUCAUAGCCAGAUUGUGAAGUCUCUUCCUCGCGAUCUUUCAUCAAGUGACCAACUUCAAAAUGUUCUGGAUUCACUGGCAGUUUAUUCUAAUCCAUGCGGCAUGAAGCAGGUAUUAGUCCUUCGGUUUAUGUAACACAUUCCCUUAAAAUGCAAGAUUAAUGUAAAACUUUAUCGCAGGGUAAGUAUGUACUUCGCAAAUCGUGCUGGAACGAAUUGGACUUGUAUCACCCCCGCUGGAAUUCUAGGGAAUUGCAAAUUGCGGAGGAGAGAUAUUACCGUUUCUGCAAAACUUCUGCUCUUAAUGCUCAGCUACCUCGGUGGACUCACGUUUUUAGCCCACUGAGAAGUAUUUCUAACGUUGCAACCUCAAAGGCUGUCCUUCAGAUUGUUCGUGCUGUUCUCUUUUAUGCUGUUUACAGUGAAGCAUCAUCAGCAUCACGCGCCCCUGAUAAUGUUCUCGUGACGGGUUUACAUCUGCUUUGGUUGGCACUUGAUAUUUGUGAAUCAGAAAGACAAGUACAUGCCGACCAGUAUGGCAUGGAUGUGGUGCAGCAUGAUGAUGAAUCAUGGGUUGUUCUGUCAUCGUACACAGAAGAGGCUUUUCCCAUAUUGACUUACUCUACUGAAGUAGUUUCCCCGGAGUCUGACAAUGUAAAGAAAGAAAGCAUGUUAACCCUACUUGUGUUGCUAAUGCACAAAUACAAAGAAGAGAAUGAUGCCACCUUUUCUGGAUCCAAGUACUGUAAUAUUCCAUCCCUAAUUGAGAGCUUAUUGAAGAAAUUUGCCAAGUUAAGUAAGAAGUGCAUGUUUACAUUAAGACAAAUGGCGCCACAUGUAGUCCCAUCUACACCAGACAGUUCCAGUAUCAAAGAAAGCCUAGGAACUUCAUCAGAUCCCAUGGAAAAGAAAGCAAAAGCACGUCAACACCAAGCUGCAAUUAUGGUAAGAUGUUUAAUUACAAAAUUCAUAUAUAUUUAGUUACACAUUAGACAUGUCUCAGAUAACCAAUUACCAGCCUUAUUUGAAUGCGAGUUGUCUUUGUUGAAUGAGCUUACCAAAAAUAGACAACUUUAUCAAUUUUCUUUGUAUAUGUACUAGUUCUGCAGUUUCCUUGGUUUGGUGUUAAUUUUGUUUUUACGGCUUGUAAUGUCUACACUUAUUUUGCACAUGCUUAGGUUGUGAAGUUAGUGGUUUUGACCUUUUUCUAAGUUACAUUAAGGCAUUAAGCACAAUUUUCUUCUAUUGGACCCUAUUUAUUUUAGGCGAAGAUGAGGGCAGAGCAGUCCAAAUUUGCUGAAAGUAUGAAGUCAUCAGAAAACGAGGGGCAUGAUGUUCCAAUGUUAGAGACAGAUGUGUCCAGUUCAACUGGUGCGGUCUCUGAGGAGUCACUACCAGUUUGCUCCUUGUGCCGGGACUCGGACUCCAAAAGCCCUCUAUGCUAUUUGAUUCUUCUUCAGGUAAUCAUUGUUGACUUGACAUUAUCUGGUGAUACCUGAUAGGUCUUAAAGUAGCAACUGUCCUUUCUGCAUCAUUUUGGCGUGUAAUGUUUUCUGACUAGUGUUUGAAUAGCAUGUUGAUGUGACUUAAGCUUUCUUAUGUGUCCUACAAUUCAGAAAUCUCGGCUUGCAACUUUUGUUGAGAUGGGUCAUCCAUCCUGGGAUAAUCCAACUCAAGCAAACAAGACGUCUGGAUCAGUCAAGAAGGAAGAUUCAACUGAUUCCUUGGUCUCUGGUUCUUCAACUUCCGAGGAACUUGUCGAUGACACGACAGUAGAGCCAUCUUUUGAUUUAGACAGCAUGGAAGUUGAUGCCUUUCUUGAUUUUUCAAAUGAGCAGCAUCCACUAAUUCGAUAUAUAUCGUCUUUCCCAAGUGGACAUUGCAAUGGCAAUGCAGAUGACACUGUCUCGCUUGAGGCAAUUGAGGCUGAUAUUUACAACUCUAUUUUAAAUGAUGUAUUUGGAUCCAGUAAUGCACACAUUCAGAAUGCUGAGCAAACGUCGCCAUCAUCUGCUUCAAGUAUCACAGUUGAUUCCAAGAAAACCAGAAGCCCCAAGCGUUCUGUGCUGGGAACAUAUGUUAGUUGUCUAUCAGCAAAACACCGCCAUUCUUCACUCUAUGAUGUAGCUUCCAAAUCUUCUGCCUCUGUUAGUACAAGAAACAAGUUUGGUCCGCUUCAUUGUGAUGGCAUCCACAUUUCUUCUUGUGGACAUGCUGUACAUCAGGAAUGCCAUGAUCGGUAUUUGUUCUCCUUGAAACAAAGGUAUGCUGGGUUUUCUCCUUCAAAUCCCUUUUGUUCAACUGUAACUAUAGGCAGGAAAUAAAUAUUUUACACUUGUGCCCUUUGGGUAGGUGUUGUGUUUGAAUGGUGAUCCAUCAGUUAUAUGAGUACAGAUGCACACGAUGGUUGACUUAUAACCUUUGGAUGAUGCAUUUAAUUUAUGGGCAAUUAAUUAUUUGGCCAUCAAAUAAGUUCCAGUCUAUGAUUUGCCAUCGAGCAAGUCAGGUUUCGCGCCAGCAUCUGUAUUCUAAAUUUCUUCACUGCAUGCCAUUGCCGGAUGGCUUGGUGUGAUUUUUCUUUUAAUUUUAAAAUCAUGAUGGUAUGGAAAUUGGACUUGUUUGAUGGCAAAUCAUGAACUAGAAUCUUCUCCUAUGGUAGAUUUUGGAUUUAUUCUUCAAUGAUCUUUCAGUACUCUAUACAACUUGCUGUUUAGGAGCCUACUUGAAUUAAUAUAUAACACUGGCUGCACACCUCCUGUUGAUUGAUGCUUGCAGAAAUUUGUAACUUAUUUUCCCUUACAGAUAUGUCCGGAGACUUGGUUUUGAAGGUGGUCAUAUUGUCGAUCCUGAUCUGGUAUGUAUAUUGUGUUUGAAACUUGUCUUUUUUUUGUUUUUGUUGAUCCUGUGCUUACACAUUGCUAUGUGCAGGGAGAGUUGCUUUGUCCAGUAUGUCGCAGAUUUGCGAAUUCCAUUCUUCCAGCAUCAACUGAUUUCUCUAGUAAAACAUUGAAGGGGAAACCAUUUGUUGAAACCUUGACCCGUGAAGUUGUUAUUACAACUACGUCACAUCUAAAUACAAGUCACUUACAGUUUCCUCGAGCACUAUCACUUCUUGAAAGUGCUGGAAAAACUGUUGGACAAAGCAAGUUUCUAAAAGCUUUAUCAGGGAAGCUUAAUGAUACUACAGAGUCAUCCCUAGAACCUUCUCUUCGAAGAUUAGCCAUGCUUUACUAUCAUCGUGGUCCCAGCGGUUUUUCAGCAUCUGAAAGGAAAAGGCUCAAUCCAUCCUUGUUUCUCUGGGAUACACUAAGGUACUCUGUGGUAUCUACAGAAAUUGCUUCUCGUGGUAGGAUGUUAAACCAGUCUGCUGAGUCAAAGUCCUGCUUGGAAUCUUUGCGUGGUGAACUGAAUUCAUCAAGUGGAUUCAUAUUGUCCCUAUUAUUCCGUGUUGCUCACUCUGCACGAAAUUUGAAUCGUCUUGAGGUUCUUUUAAGGUUUGAAGGUAUCCAACUAUUAGCGGGGUCUAUUUGCUCUUGCAUUUCUGGUUAUAAAGACGUUCUUAAUGCUACUAAGCGAAAAGGUAUAUAGUGCACCCUUUCCCAUUACUUUUUUUAAUGUAUUUACCUGCAUGUUAGAUGGUACUCUUUUCCUUUGUUUUGAAGUGUCCUAUUAAUCCCAGUUCUAUCACAAAUCAUGACUUUUCUAUUUCAUUCAGUUUGGAAUUUACAAUAUUUACAAUUAAUACAAUAUAUUCAAAUUCAUGGAUUCUUAUAUGUUAGUGAUUUGAUGAUUGAUAUGUUGGUUCUUAAUUGUUAGUGUUUGUAGAACGGGUUGAUUCUUUUUUUUUUUGGCAGUGCUACUAUUAUCUUGUUGUUUUCUCUGUUGUGCUGACUAUGUUGUGCUGAUUAAUUGUUAUUGUUUCUGUCUUAGAUCAGAUGUACAAUUUUUUGUGGAGUGUCACUAUUGCCUUUGCUUUAUUAUUGUCCUGAUUUAUAUGCUAUGAACCAUUUUAAGUUUUUAUCUUAUUUAUGAUCCUAUUUUGCUUUCCUCUUGAAAGCCCUAAGUGUUGUAUAUCCUGCAUCUUUGUAUUGGUGAUUGUUAGUUUUAUAAUUUGUAUCUAACUGAAUUUUGAGUUGAUAGUACUUGCAUAGUGAAGAAUUCUUGUCUAGAUAUACUUGCAUUGAUUUUGAAGUAAUAAAUAAACCUUCCAACUUGAUGUAUUAGUAACAAAGUGCCUGAGUAAAGAAAUUGAUUUUUUCUUUGCAAAGACCUAAGCAUUCAUUAUCCAGUGCUCGUUAAAGAAACUAAAUCAAAAGGGCGCGGACCAGUUGUUGUAGGUUCUGUGCCUUUCAACAAAGUGCCUGAGUAAAGAAAUUGAUUUUUUCUUUGCAAAGACCUAAGCAUUCAUUAUCCAGUGCUCGUUAAAGAAACUAAAUCAAAAGGGCGCGGACCAGUUGUUGUAGGUUCUGUGCCUUUCAAGAAGGCUCCAUUACAUGUCAAAGUAGAAGUUGACCUAAACGAAAGUCAAUUUUCUUGUAGAACUGAUUUGGUCAUCAUAAUAUGCUAACAUUAGAUGUCUGAUGUACAAGAAAAAUAUCAAGAGGUAGUAUUUGGUUCUAAUGAUCAUAGCCCGGCAACUUGCGAAUUGCAUUUCUAAAAUUUGUGUUGCUGGCCUGGAUGGAACUUGAAUUAUUCUAUCUCUUGUGCACAUCAUGUCUCCAAAUCACUUACUCCCUCCGUUCCAAAUUGUAGGUCGUUUUGGCAUUUCUAGAUUCAUAGCUUUUAAUAUGUUUUAAUAUGUAUCUAGAUGCAUAGCAAAAACUAUGAACCUAGAAAUGCCAAUUUGGAAUGGAGGGAGUAUGGAAUAUAUAUUUAGGUAUCAAUUCUCACCUUUUUCAUCUUCAACAGGCUCUUUGCCACCUAUGGUUGAUCCAGGUGAGGAGGGUCCCCUCUUCCCUGACGUCCAAUUUUGGAAACAGUGUGCUGAUCCAGUCCUUGCUCAAGAUCCAUUUUCUUCUUUGAUGUCAACACUUUUCUGUCUACCUGUUCAGUUUGUAUCAUCUGCUGAAUUCUUCAUCCCUUUUGUCCAUCUGUUUUAUGUUGUUUGUGCCAUUCAGGUAUGCUGUUUGGUGUUGCUUUCUCUUGAGAUUUGCAGUUUAUAUGUUAGUUUUAUUUGAUUUAAAGCAUGUUAUUACAUGAAUUUUCCUGUAGGCCCUGAUAACAUGCUACGGAUCGGAAACUUUUGACCGAUCUAGCUUCAGUGACUGCCUUCUUAAUGAUGUUUGCAAGACAAUGUCAGGAUAUGAUAUUGCCAGAGAGUAUUUUGUAUCCAAAUAUAUCGACCCGUAUUGUCAUCCAAAAGAUAUGGUCCGUAGAUUGACGUAUCCUUAUCUUCGGAGAUGUGCAUUGCUUUGGGAGCUGCUAAGAUCGUCUGCCACAUCACCCUUAUAUGACAAUUCCAAUAUUUGGGAAGGAUCACAUCUUUACCUGAGCAAUAGCACACAAGAUGGAAGUUCUUCACUGGCAAUGGAGCUAAAUGGAAUAAGCGAAUUGGAAAAGCUGUUCCAGAUUCAGUCACUGGACCUGAUUCUCCGAGAUGAAUCUGUACAUGUGCUGGCCUUAAAAUGGUCUCAACAUUUCUGUGAAGAUUACAGUUCUCGCAAAUAUAGAGGCUCUCUCUUUUCUACCCCUGCAGUUCCAUUUAGGCUGAUGCAACUACCACCUGUCUACCAAGUUCUCCUUGAAAGGUUUGGUCUGAAUCUUCUAAGCUGAGAUGAUGUUUUGCAUGGGCUGUGCCUUGAUGGGCUAAGCUUUUCCCACAUUUCUGGAGCUAAUGGCUUGUCAUUUUUUGGAUCAGAUAUAUCAAGAUGCAAUGCCCCGAUUGUGGCUCAGUGCCUGAUGAACCGGCAUUGUGUUUGCUUUGUGGCAAACUAUGUUCACCUAGCUGGAAACCAUGCUGCAGGUGAUAGCACUUUGCUUUUUACAGUUCCAAGUAGCCUUGUUUUGGUUCUACUGUAAUUAAUGCUAAAUCCUAAUUAUUGUUUAUUCUUUGUAGGACUGGUAAAUGCCUGAAUCAUGCAUCACAAUGUGGUGCCGGUGUUGGCAUAUUUCUUUUAGUGAGGGUAUGUAUUAGCUUAUUAUUUGCCAUCACACCAAAUUAUUAUGGCCAGUGUACUUUCCUUUGUUCUUUCUGAGACCAAGCUCCUUUCCUAUUUUGACGGAUGUGCUGUGCAGAAAACAACGAUCCUGUUGCAGCGAUCUGCUCGUCUUGCCUUUUGGCCAUCUCCUUACCUUGACACGUUUGGGGAGGAGGUAUUGAAUAAUUUCGUAUGCUUUGUUGUUGUUUAUGGACUUAAGCCUGUUUGUUACGAUCCCCACUAAAUUUUCCUCCCAGGUCUCAAAUGGGAGCUUUUUUCUUUUUGAUGUUAUCCUCGUGCUUCUCCAUGAAGCAUCUCUUACAAUAGCAAUACAAAGUGAUUUAUGAUGGCUUGAUGCCGUGCCUAAUCAUCUGAGACCUUUUAUAGAUCAAUGCUGUGCCUAAUCAUCUGAAUCUUUUGAUACAUCAGACAUACUGCUGUAGGUCUGAUGGCGUAUUGAUCCUCUUCACUUUCUGUUUUCUGUGGAUAAACAUUGAUUAUUUAAGGUUAAUAUGGGUGGUAGUUUAUGCCUAGCUUGCAAGGCAAAUGCACUGUUAAGUGGGGGUAGUUGAGAUUUGUCCUUGCAUAGUUGCAUUCAUACUGCAAGGUCAUUAGACAAAUGCCUACAUACAAAAUUUUGCAAUGAGGUAAAGGGGGAUUUUUUUUUACAUGUCUAGAUGUGAGCUUAUUCCCCUUCCCUUCUGGCUUUCUGUUUGAAUGCAGGAUCAUGAAAUGCAGAGAGGAAAGCCUUUGUAUCUAAGUCAAGAAAGAUACACAGCCUUGACCUAUCUGGUAAUAGGCUGACACCCUUUCCUCUUUGCUUUCUCGACUUAAUGCUAUUAGGAAUUUGCACCAUUUUUUAUAAAUGGGAUGCAUGCCCUUUUUUAUGUGAUAGGUGGCAUCUCAUAGCCUUGAUCGAACUUCUGAAGUCCUUCGGCAAACGACUAUCAGCUUUUAUGGAUCUGGAUCUGAUUAAAUGCAAUUUCCAUGGAACAAUGUUGAAAGGUUUGGAUUAUGUUUAUGUUUGGCAUGUUGGAUUUAGAGAAUGGAAGGAUUGGCAGCUUUGUUUUCCCAAAUGCUUGUUCAUUGGUCAUAAUGGUUGGUUUAGGUGACAAACGGAAUUUGAUUAGUUAGCAAGGGCAUAUUUGUACUAUGGUAUGUGGUCACUAUUUACUUCUCUUAGUAGGCGUGCACAAAUCUAAACAUUGAAUAUAGAAAGAAGACGGAGUAAUCUUAACAUGUGUAUUAGACCCACCAGAGCAAUUAUGCUGCUGGCAGGUCACCCAGCCACAAACAAGUUUUGUCAUGUACAGUUCUAUGAAAGAGCUUGCCAAUGGAAUGAGAGGGGGCCAAUAAGAGAGUGGAUUAGAUAACAAUUAAGUGGUGACAUAGGGCAUUGCUUACCCUUGGCCUUAGAGAAGCUUUGCAAUUGUCUUGAACUGCAACAGCAGUACUCCCUCCGUCCCAAAAAAAAAAGUCAUUAUAGGAAGUUUAAGACAUACUAAUAAGGAGGUAAAAUGACCUUGUUUACCCCUAUUUAUUAGCCAUAUUUAGCACAAAUGGACAGCAUUAUGCAUAUGCACAUACCAAAUAGGGUAGAAUGACUUGUUUUUUGGGACAAAUCUUGAACCCUAGAAUGACUUUUUUUUUGGGAAGAGGGAGUACAUGAUAAUCUCUGUCGAAUCAUCACCGCUCACACCUUUAGCAGGACAAAUUUUACAUUGCAGUGUGAUACUAGGGUUAUUGUUAAUUUAUCAUUUGCUGCCUUGUCAGGGUCUUGUGGAUGUGCAUAUUUUUGGGAACUCUAGUGCAACUUGGUGUUCAUAUUUUCCAGCGGUAACAAGUGUUACCUCUCCCAAGGUUUACAUCUACAAGCUUCUUUUGCUAAUGGGCGUUUAAGUGCAAAAUGCUGUGACAUGCCUGUGCCAUUGUUUUCGCUUCUGAUUACUUGUCGAUCUUCCGGAUGGCGUGGAUCCUGCAGGCUUUGCCACCGGUCGUGCUUGGGGGCCCUGCCGUCCUCUCUUGCUGAAUGUACGGUUGUUUUCAUGCUUCUUUUCAUUGUUCAUGGCCGGUGCUUCCCAAAGUGGAUGAUAGGUAGGCCUAGUGGCGACCUGGAAUAUUUGACGAUCGACUGCUUGAUCUGUCUGUACAGUGUAUUACAUUGGAUCGGUGUAGUUAGUAUGAAAAAGGCAGGCAAGUGCCAUUUGGUCAUCAUGUGCUUUUGUGUACCAUGUUGCUUUGUCAUUUGUCUGCUGAAUCUUUCGAGUUCUUGUUUCUUUUUUCAUGCAAGUUCUUGUGUUGAAGCGAGGUCAGAGUGCUCUGCAUAGGCACUAACACAUUGUUUCGUUGCAGCACUAACACUCAGCUUGGGAGCGUCCCUUGUUGCAACCUACGUACGGUGUGCUUUGCUUCGAAGGUUGGGUAGAAAAGCAAUGAGAAGUCGCAUGAAAGAAAUGAGUAUUCAAGUCCGCAUAUCGCAUAAAAGGUGUAACGGUAAUUAAAAAAAACUCGACGAGUCCAAGGCUUCAAGCCUUGGAAACACAGUGGCUGUACCAGGUGUAUACAAAAGUCAUCUGCGGGAGUACUCAUCAACCAACUUCGUUCAGCUUGAAGAUAGAGGCUGAACAUCCGGCGAUGGACCAUGUUGCUUGGUUCUUCUUCGAGGAGGCACCUCCUGAAUUGCUCUGCUUUGGCGCAGCCAACCAUCUCCAGACGUUUCAGCUUGCCUAGAUUCUCUGCCUGGUCCAGGGCUGGACAGUCCUGCACGAACAAAUCCUCAAGCUUGGAAAGAUUGGCGAUCCUCGUAAGGCUUCGGUUGUGCUUCACCUUGAGCCACACAACAGCGGGAAGGUCCACAAAUCUCAUGUAGGCUAUGCGCACCUUCGACAAGUUUGCAGCCCUGUGCAGAUCUUGAGGGAGUGCCCUCAAUUUUGGACAAUGCAGUAGCGACAGACGCUUGAGGAGAGGCAUCAGUAUCACCUGGUUGGGGGAGUCUCCGAUUGUGUUCUGAUUGCACAUGCCUACUGUGCUCAGUGAGCAGGCCUCCACAAUUUUAUGAACAUUACAUUCAGCUCAAAUUCCUCAAACAAGACAUUGAAAAGCGAGGGCAGGAGAUUCAGCACGCUCAAACAAUACAAAAACGCCUUAAGCGAUCAUAUAAGCACACUGCAAAAAAGACAGAAGGCGCCACUGAAGAGGUGAUUUACAGCUAUCAAUCAACAAAAUUUCCGAUUCGACUACAAUUUUUUUGUAUCGAACACGCAAGAGAUUUGACUUGGUCAAAGUUGUGUUUUGAAGACUGGGUACUGCUUAUUUGGAACUGGAGUGAGCAUUAUACGUGUUUUCUUUAUGAAUAAUGUACUAUAAGAACAAAACAAAAGUUGUUCCAAACUAACCAAAUAAAAGUUCGCAGUAGAAAACUAUUGCUACAGUUAUAUCAGUUCCUUUUUGCGCAGCAUCCAUCUUUGGCGACAAUGGAUGGUAAUGUGUUCAAAUUUUAUUCCGUUCGGGUGCAAGUCUACUGUUGAAUGGCUUGGCUUCAAAACUUUGCCGCCCAGUUGUGCCUUGCGGACUUGCAGUUGCGGUGGUUGCCCACUACUUCAGCUUCCAACGGUCCAAGGUGUUUUGCACCAGCCACCAGGUACUGUGCCAUUCUGAAGAGCAUAUCAAAUUGUCGAGGAUUUUGGCCCAUAGCCAGACAUCAUACCACAGUCCAAGGUGCACACUGCAAUCCACCGUCGGCGGACCUGCUGAUCACAUGAACAAUGUCUGGUGUUGAUGGACGGCUAGUAACCAUGAUACCGGAACAAUUUACAAGGACGAAUGACGUUUCAGAGUAUCAGUAAAGAACAUUGCCAAUCACAAAAGGAGAAUAUAAGCUGAGAAAUUGCUGAAACAGUAGCAAAGCCUAAAUGUUGAUAACAACAUAUCAGUAUAUCACAUUAGAAAUGAAGCCAUACACUUUACUAAGCUAGUUUGCUCACCUUUCUAAUGAUAGAGAGAUUCAUCUGGAAAUAUAUCUCGGCCAUCCGCACCAACUGUUGCAACAUGUACUCAGAUGUCUUGUUCUUCUUUCAGGAGACAAUUCCUGAACUGCUGUCCGUUCAGGCAGUCAACCAUGUACAAGCACUUCAGUGAAGAUUGGAGAUUCUCCUCAAAGAUUUAUUGUUCUUGACCGUGAGCCACAAAACUUCAGGAAGGUUUACAACUUGUUGAAGCUUGUGAGCACCUUCAAUGUGAAUCCUUUUUAAAUUAACAGCUCUAUGCAAAUCUUCAGGGAGAGCUCUUAGUUUAGGACAAUCAAGGAGCAACAGGCGCUUAAGGCAAGGCAUCAGAACGAGCUGUUGAGAUUUGGUCUCCAUGUUAUUACACAAGCUUCUUGUUUUGAGGGACCAACUUUCCAAAUUGCGCAUGCGAAUGAUGUGAAGCAAUUCGAGCUUUGGGAAAACAGCUGCUGCUUUAGUCACACCUCUCCCCAGGAAUUCUGCACCCAUAGUCACUACUGCACCUGCACCUCUAAUCUGAAGAACUAGUAGUUCUGGCAUCUGGCCUACUGGUGGUAGUUGUAAACAUGAUAUGCACUCAUUGAGCUGCAUGUGAGACAAAUUUGGAAGCUUAUACUCUGGCUCUGAACAUAGCCAUUCUGGGAACCUUACACCAGGGAACCCAACAAAGAAAAUGUAUAAUAGGCUUGGUGAUGGAAUAAGCAUCUCAUAGACUUGCUGAAUUUUCUCAAUCUCACUGGCUUGGUAAUGAGUUUUAUCAUGAAUAUUCAUGCCCACUGUGCAGCACAACCCCAGUUCUCUGGCUUGGUAUUGCCUUUUCAAGCUUCUCAACCCAGAGGCGUUGGAUAUUGGUGAGACAUUUUAAUUCAUCCAAUCUGAACCCAGUCUCACUUUCAAAGACACCUCUGAGGUAGUAGAGCUGCUGGAACUGGCAAUUCCUUUUGGAACAUGAUCAAUAGCAGUCUUUUCAAGUUUAAGAAAACUUAUCUGUGAUAGUCUCAUUAAACAAACUGUCAGACUAUCCAACUUAUGGCAACCACGCAAUGAGAGAGAUUCAAGGCUGGUAAGCCUUCCAAUCGAAUCUGGAAGUUUGCUGAUCUCUGUAUAACUUAGAUCUAGCAACCUCAACAACACCAGGUUUCCCACUGACUCUGGAAUGAUUAGGAUGCCCGAUCCACUUAGAACUAAGACACGGAUGUGCUCAAGCUUUCGGAAAAUAUUCGUGUUAACUGACUUGAAGUUCUUGUUAUUGAAAAUUAGGAGGCUCCUCAUGCAUUUAUACUCUCCUAUAGCAGGUAUUUCUUCUACAGAACUGCUGAUACUUAAGCACCGCAGAUUAGGCGGAACUUCAUUAUUUUCUGCAUUCAUGAAUAAGGAAUGAUACCUUGUCAAAUACUGCCCAAGUGACCUCAAUAGAUCGUGCAUUGUUGAAAUACCUUUGUCCACGAAUUCUGGUUUUGGUUGCAGAAGAUUCCUCGUAAUUAGCUCAUAAUAGUAUUCUUCAGCAAUUGCAUGAAUCGAGCACUUGUGAUCUUUCCUCACAAAACCUUCAGCAACCCACCAGUAAGCAACAGCAUUACGCUCGAUUGCAAAAUUUGGAGGCAACAAAGCACACUCUUAAGUUGAGGGGUUAAGUUGCUAUAACUCAUAUAUAGGGGGCCUCCUAGUUCUUUGGGAAGUCCGUGGAUAGACCAGUUGCUAUCUCGGAUGCUCUCCCAUUCUGCCCUUGUUCUUUUAGUAGAUAGAACACCCGCAACAACCGCGAUGGCUAGAGGAAGACCAUCACAUUUUCUUACUAUUUGACACCCAACAUCACUAAAUUCAUUUAGUUGCACAUAUAUGGUCGGAAAGACUUCUUCAUUAGAAGUUCCAGGCCAUCAUAAUCAUUCAUUUUGUUUACUUGGUGAGUAUAUGUUGCGUGCAUUCCUGCCAAAACAUCCAGGUUUCUUGUGGUGACAAGGAUAUUUGCAUUCGAGCAUCUCUUGAAAGGCGAUCGGAGAAGAUCAAUCCAGACAUCAGAUUUCCACGCAUCAUCUAAAACAAGAAAUACACUCUUUCCUCUGAUAGUGUCCAUCAGAUGGAAAAGAAGUUCGGUCUUGGUCUCAAGCUGACCACAUGUUGCUCCAGCCAUUCGUAUUGCCUGCCUUGGCAAACCAAUCUCUGUGUAGCUCUGAGAAACGCACAACCAUAUAUGAACUUGGAAUUUCUCCCUUAUCCUCUGCUCAUUAUAUAUCUUCUGAGCUAAUGUUGUCUUACCAAUGCCUCCCAUCCCUUGAAUACCAAAAACAGUUGAUUUGUCUUCAUGAAAAUUACUAAGAAUCAUUUUGACCAUGUCAUCAGUCGCCUGUCUGAUAUCUCUUCCAAAAACCUCUAGUUCAUCUAUGGGUGAUGUCUGACUUCUAUCCACAACAGGUACUUGAUACUGUUGACUACUGGUCCUCUCCAAGCUGAUGAACAUGUUUCUGUUCUUUUGAAUUUCAUCUAGCUUUCUGUUUAUAUCCUUGAUUCUUUUAGCAACCCUGUGAUCAAAUGAAAGUUUCGCGAUAAAGGACAAAAGGGACUGGUUGCAACAUUCCAUUCUAGGUGGCAGCAAUAGCUUCUGUGAGUGAACCAUGAAGUGAUCUAUGACAUCAUCCACAUCAAACAUAACGUCAGUCAUGUUCUUCCACCAUGACUCUGCCCCCCUAUCUUGCUUCAGCAUCCUCACCAACAGCGCCAAAAUGUUCCAGAUUUUUCUUGAGCCUCUUGAUAUCCCUUUUCACACUCAAUGUCAUUGCAACUUCAUCCUGGAUAAUCUGACUAAGCUUUGCCAGGAAUUUUGAAGUGAGAGCAUCCAAAAAUGCACCCAUACUGCUCAAACAGCUAGACCUAUGGAUUGUCACCGGAUCUCACUUGCCCUCAAGCUUCAGAUUGUAUAUGAUAUAUCUCAGUUAACCGCAGCUCAUUCGAGAUUGGAAAGGGUAGGAGAUGUUGAAAUAGAGGGAGUGCAGUUUGAUGGAAUUGGAGAGGCCAAUGCACAAGUGAGCUGUUAUAAGUUCCCAUCACUGUAAAGACCCGACCUAAUCAUAGACACCUAAUGUCUUGGGCAUUCCCAUUUGCUUCCAAUCUUUUCAACACAGGUAAGAACAUAUAUCUCAAAAAACAAAGGACUAUUGUUGCAGACUUGCUGACGGGAGGGAAAGAGUCGCCACCAGAAAAUAUUUGUUUGACGGCAGACAUUCGUGCAUUUCCUCGAACAGUCCAUAUGCGUUCAAUCGUUGGUCUCCAACUCUCCGUAGACUAAGUUUCUUGUUUAUAAAAAAAAAUCGAGAGAGAAGAAUUUGCGAUAGCUGCUCCAUCGUUUUCGCCAAUCUACGUACAGAGAGAGAGCGAUCAAAACAGGCCGUCUACUAACAUCACCAGAAACAAAUCAGCCCGAAACUUCCAUUAGAUUUGUAGGCUUUUUCGCAGAUACACAGAGAGACCUGCAUGAGAAGCGCGCGCUGCGGUUGUCCACUGCAUUGAUUGGUUGGCGACGCCGACUACCGGCCGCGGCGAUAGCCACAGCUCGUCGGCCGGCAGCGCCGCCCACCGCCGGAGAAGAAGCCUGCCAUCCAGGGGCUCCACAUGUUUAUCGGGCCCAGGCGCACAGCCCAGCCCAGCGACACGUUAGUACAACACAGGCCGGGCCCUCUCUCUCUCUCUGUUCGUGUCACGCCGCCCGGACCGCCCCCGGGUCCAGCAAACUAUGAUGAACAGCCCAACCUUGGUGGCCCUCAAAUCAAACCAAAACCAGGAGUCCAGGACCGUACAAACACAUGCUGAUCGAAUAGGCGAUAGGCCGAAGGUCUGCGAUUGAGAUGAUGAAUCGAUUUUUCUUUUUCACCAAUGUGGCAAUUUAUUAACUAUCCGCUUCCUCUCCCUUGCAAGAAGACAUUUUCGCCGUUGCAAGAAAAGCUCCCAGUGAAAGGGGGGCAAAAAAAAAUCAAGUCACACGACAUCGAGAGUACACAAAGAUGGUAGAUGCAUAUAGAUGGAUGGUUACACGAGACACUGAAGACAGUAAGCAGGCAGCACAUACAACACGGAGCAGAGCAUUGCCUGCUUGCUACACACACUGACACUGCUACAGAUGAGCCCCACAAGCGACCUGCCUGCGAGGAAGGACACGGCGACGACGGCGACUCGCAUCUCAGUACCAUUAUUCUUCUCCAUCAGUACGAUUACUAGCAGCAUGCGCAACACUGUUAUUAAGCAUGCCACACACACACUUAGGACACAACACUGCUAUACUAGGGUGUCCUUCCGAUCGCCUCCACCGGCCAGGGGCCGCGCCAUGAGCUCAUCACUUGCCGCAGGUGCAGGGGUUGCAGGUGCAGUUGGGGCCGCACUGGCACCCGCCGUUCUCGGCUCCGGCGGACGCCGCGCCGCCCUCGAACCCGCCGUCGGCGUGCCUGCGCAGAGAAAGCCAAGAUAUGACAGAGUCAGUGGCCUGGCUCAUACAUGCAUACAGAGCAUUUUUGGCAUGUUCGCUACCAGCAGCUACAUACGAGUGCAUGACGUCCCAGACUUCUCAGUUCAGGACAAAUUAAAGUUCUUUUUUUUUUCUUUCUGUUUUUGGGCCAGCAGUUUGUUUGUUUCAUGAUUGCCAAAAACUGCUUUCGUCGUAGCUUACUGCUCCCUGCUCGUUGCUGAUGGCGACUGAAAUUUGUACUACCACUAUGCGGACAAAUACCACAGCUACGCAUGCUAACAGAAGUUGGUACUGCUCCCUACACGAUCGAUCGAUCUACCCCCACAACACAAGGCAAAAGACAGUAAAAAUAGUACAGCUAGUAAUUCUGCACCACAGAAACUGACUGCUAUUAUUAGCAAAGGUGUGGAUGGUGGAUCAUUCAGAUCAACACAACACCGGAAUGAUCUAUGAGCAUGAUGUAGAUCAGUAGAUGGGAAAAGGGAUGGAUGAACAUACCCCUUGUUGGAAGGCGCAACGCCCGUGAUGACGGUCUGGGUGGUGGUGGUGCCCUGCUCAGCCAUGUCCGGGAACAUCUUGCACCUGCAGAUCAUGCAAGCGGCAGAUCAGCAUCAUCAGAAAUUUCCCUUGUUGAAGGAGCACAACUACAGCAUGCACAUCGUUUCAGAGAAACGAAGUUCAUCAGACAGGAAUUCACAUGCGCAGCAACAUGAGAAAACCUCUCUGUUUUUUUUCUAAAAUAAAAAAGGGGAGCUUGAUCUCCCAGCUCUACAUAUCCUAUACUCAAAGAUCCAUCCACAAAGGUCCAGCAAGAACACAAGAACAACCGAAUACAUGCAUUCAUAUGGGUAUUGACACAUGAUAGACACGCAUCAGACUAUCAGAGAUCUGAGGAGCGUGGCGUCGUGGGGCUUACCCUCCGCAGCCGCUGCCGCACUUGCAGCCGGACCCGCACCCGCAGUUGCCUCCGCAGCACGACAUCCUCGCGAGAUCGAUUCAGAGACGAACACAAGCAGAGAGCGGCGUUCUUGGCAAUGAGUCACUGAACAACAACGAGAUGCAGUAUGCCUUCCCCCUG